RNAcentral lists this long non-coding RNA (74455 nucleotides) under Ananas comosus (pineapple). RNAcentral's name for it is "long non-coding RNA (ACOM_LNC007630)". The record is from RNAcentral. Lineage: Eukaryota; Viridiplantae; Streptophyta; Magnoliopsida; Poales; Bromeliaceae.
GUUUCAUUUUUAUCUUUUCGGAAGCUUUUUCGUUAAUAUUUCGUUAAAUUAUAUACAAAAAACUUCAGAUAACCAUCUAUAUUUAUCGAAAAGAUAAAAACGAAACCACAGGGGGGCAAAUUGAUACGUUUUAAACCACAGGGUAGCAAAGUGAGAAUGCACGAAACCAUAGGGGGGGUUUUUGAAGUUUUCCCUUUUUUAAAAGAUAACUCAAAAUAAUUUCAAAAAUUAGAAAAUAAAUUUAGAACUUAAAAGGAGUCAAUCCUAUCUUCCAAUCAGCUGGUGGAAAAAGAAAUAUGUGGCUUUCUCCUCCUUUCAUUUUGGUUGCUUGAAAAUUGAUUUUUCGACCAACUCCGACAAACUCAAGUAAGUGGUGUUUGGCCUAACUUUUGCAAAAUAAUUUUGAUCAAGUAAUUUUUUACACAAUAGUGUGUUUGAUAAUUUCGUUUUCGAAAUUUAAUUCUAAUUUUUAGUCUAAUUUUUAAAGCCUAAAAUCAGAAGCAGUUAAAACUUCAUUCUUAAAAUUUGAUUCUGAUGACUCAAAUUUUAAAAUUUUAUUUUUAUUUUAGAUUCAAAUUUUAAAUUUUAUAUUUGAAUUUUUAAUUUUUAAAUCUCAAGUUUCAAAUUAAAAUUUUAGAUUUAGAUAUUAAAUUUCAAUUUUAAAAUUUCUAAUCUCAAAUUUUAAAAUUAAAAUUCAAAAAUUAAGAUAAAAUUUAAAAUAUGAAGCUUUAAAAUUUUAAAUUUUAAAUUCAAAAUUUUAAAAUUUUAAAAUUUAAAUUAUAAUUUUCAAAUCACAAAUUCAAAUUUUAAAAUAAAAAUAAAAAAUUUUAAUUUUAAAUUUUAAGUUUUAAAUCUUAAGUUUUAAAUCUUAAAUUCAAAAUUUGAAUUUUAAAUAUUCAACUUUUAAAUUUUAAAUUAAAAUAUCAAAUUUUAAAAUUUUGCGCACAUUUUAAAAUUAAAAUUAAAAUUAAAAUUAAAAUUCAAAAUUUUAACUUGAAUUUAAAUUCAAAUUUUGAAUUAUUUUAAAAUAAAAUUUAGUAAAAAAAUUNNNNNNNNNNNNNNNNNNNNNNNNNAAAAGAAGAGAUGGAAAGAGAAUGAAAAAGAACUGAUUUACUUUUUUUUUAUUUGUUAGAUGACAAUAACUAUGUGAUGCAUUAAUUGGAAGUGAGCGGACGAAGCAUCGGGCGAUAGAUAAGGGGCCGGUGGAAAGACGAAGCAUCUCAGAAGUAGAAGGGAAGAAGGCAGGGUGAAUGGAGGACUGCCAAGUGCAAAAUUCUAUGGGAUAUAUGUAAUAUAGUAUAGAUAGUAUGAUGCCAUAAUCAAAUGAUGGGAUCAAAUAUACUGUUUGUAUACCUGUUUAAAGAACUGUGCUAAUCCCUUAGAUUCAUGUAAUCCAAUGUCAUUUUAGUUUGAGACGAUCAUAGACUCAAUCAAAGUGCGUUGGAGUUGGAACACCACCUUUCUAGAAAAUAUAAGCCCAGAGAGUUAGUCAUGAGAAAUGCAGAAUGAUCUCGUGUGAUUUAUUGUCUGAUUGUUUAGUAACUCAUGGUAAGGUUGCUUCUGUAACAUAAUUGCAAUUCUCCAAAUUAGAGGAAGAACAUCCAUUUUAUUCUAGAAUAUGCCGUGGUGGCUUGAACACUGCUCAUAAUCCCGUAUUGGCAUACUUCAAUCUCAUGCUAUAGGCAGCCCUUGAUCGCAUAAAAGUAACUUACUCAUAACUAACAUAGAUAUUCUGUACUUGGAUUUAAAACAUUAAAUUUGCCAGUAUGUACAAUAGCAUUUCUUUCGUGUGGGGGGUAUUUAAUAAAGGUUAGGGUUGAUAUGGUAAGAGUUUCAACAAUGCUUAAUCAAGGUGCAUAUGCAACGGCUAUGCACCAAAAUUUACAUCAAGUUACCAGAGGACAGCCACCUACUUGGUGCAUAUUAUUGUUAUUAUUUUUAAUUAGGAAAUGAUGUGCAUGGACGAUAGUGUACUUUUUUAUGACUAUUGUUUCAUUCUUUUACUCUUGUUCUUCCUAAUUCCCUAUGCUUAUCAAGUUAGCAGGUUUCUGAACAUUUGGGUAUCUCAUGGAUUUUGGUACACAAUGUCAAUUUUUAGGGCAAUAUGCUUCAAAGGAUGAAUGGCGAAAAAGCAUUAUUUUAUUUUGUUGAUUAUAUAACUAGUUUCUUACUAGGAUCGCAACAACUGCAAUCAUAACUCAUAAAAUGUUGCUUUUCUCAUUACAGUUUUCUUGAAUUCUUAAGCAACUGCCUACCUAAUGCAUUUAAUGCACUUAGUUAACAUUCACAACCUGGGUUCCUUAUAUUUUCUCCCUUUUAGCAUUCCUGCAUGACAUGUUUAUGUAGGUUAUUACACCGCUUGUUGGCCAGUCUCUUGUUUCAACAUCUAAAUGGAUAACUGUUAACUGCCGUUAGUGCCAACAGAUAUCCCUAUUUGUUACUGUCAAAUUUGGCCAAAUAUAUCAUUUGGUUUUGAAAUUUUGAAUUAACCUACUGACUACUCAUAGUACAAUGAAACCUUGUCUGGACUGUUCAAAAUUAUUUUGACAUCGUAAACUGAUAUUUCAGAUCCUGUACCUGAAAAAGUGCUGAUAUUGACCUACAAUGAGAUGCUGACGAUAUCGAAUGGUAUUGGAUAUCCCUGAAAAAGGAAUUUCCGGGCUUUAAAUAGUAUGGACUUUGGAGGAAAAAUAUUUCUGUUGAGGGAUCAUGGAGAACUGCACAAGGUAAUAAAGGCGUAUUCGAAGACAACAGAAUUUCUCCAAUUCUACAGUAAAUACUGGAAUGUCUUUAAUUAAGGGUAAUUUGGUGAUGAUAAUCUGAUGAUUCUCAGGGGCCUCUAACAGAAUUAGCAGGAUCAUUCUGUUUGUGUGUCGCCCCCUCUGGAUCUUCCGUUAACAGGUUCAUUGUAGUAUGAGAAACGGGAGAUACCAUCCUGAUCUCCGUCCGAAAUUGUGAUGGAGAUGGGCAAACUUUUAAUCUCUUGACCAUAUGUAUGUAUUUAAUUUUGUUUUUCUGUCUGACAUCCUGUUUAAUUAAGUAAAAACAUAUACGGAGCCCUUUGUUCUUUCACAGAAUUGCGACUCGGUCGUGAAAUUUUACUAAUAUGAUUUAGUUCUGAUAUUUUUUAAUUUUUAUUUUAUUUUUACAAGUCACAUUCUGACUUCUAAAAUGUCUGUUAUGCUGGUGCUCCACACUUGAAGGUUUUUGUUAUUAACUGCUAUUCUUAACCUAAUCAAGACCCUUUUUUCUAAUGAACUCUCACUUUACCCUUCUCAUAUUCUUAUUGUCAGAUUCCUGUUUGGGCUAAACUGGGCCAUUUAAAACAGUAAAAGGGUAUGUGAGCACAUCAACAUCGGCGGUACGUCUUCUGUUUGGACAUUGAAAACAAGGUCAAGUAUUUGAUCAAAAUUUAGUGAUUAAAUCUUGAGUUGAAACAGUUAAAAGGCACUAGGUUGAAAUCAUUCGAGAAAUAUAGAAAUUUAUUUGUGUUGUCGAAUCAAUUUUUUUCCCAUGCUGUGACCACUUCAUCGAUUUAAAUUUCCUUUUCAAAUUCAGGAUAUUUCCAGAAAGUGUGAAACAGUGUUUCCGGUCGAUUGCCACCAUCCCCAGAUUCGAGUUAAAGUUGCUGGCGGCCUGAUCAAGACUACGCAACAGAGCCGCCAGACUGUCCCGGCCCAGGUGCAUUUACCAGUCCUUCAGAUGCAAGACUCUGAUGAGUCUCGUCCGAUGCCGUUCCGCCUUGUUCUAACCACCAUCGUUCAUAGAGAAAGGGUCAGGCCGGCAACGCUUGUGGCCUGGCCUGCCACGUCCACUCCAUAGUAGUCACGUCUUGGUCGUGUACAAGCUUGUGUACAGAGAUAGCAACAGGGAAGCGUAUUUCUUUACUUGUCGGCCCGCGAGGCAAGCCUCUGCAUUCUAUCAUUGAUCAGGAAUCAGAUCCGCCUAGAUGUAAUGAUUCUUUGUUCUCGACGAUGAGAAAAGAAGUGCAUCGAACAUGCAAAGAGCGCUUUGCUCGAAUCAUACUCUUACUCGCCGAUUUCUAUCAGGAGUAAAAUUAAUUCUCAAUCUUUAUGGUGCCAAUUUCCUCUGAAUAAACCUGGUACAGAUGGCCCUUCUUUUUUGUACACCUCAGAAACAAUCUCUUGCUCAUGUAUGUGGUCUUUUUUUUUUUCUUUUAUUCUUGUGGCCAUUUCUUGAAUAAUGAUAAUAAUAAUAACAGGAAGCGUCUGGUUUAUGUAUGGAUUCCGCCUUUGUAUAUUUUUAAAUUAUUUUGAAUUGUACAUUUUAAAUAUUGCAGUUGUUGCUUCAUAGUUAGGUGAGAAUUUCUAUUUUGGUGGUCGGAAGUGAUCUUAAUCUAUCCAUACUGUUCAUUGCAUCUUCAAUGCAUGUUAUCAUUGAAAUGUAAUCAAAUUUAUCAGUAAAUAGCAAUCAAAUUAGAUCAUACUGUAAACAAAGGUGAAGAAAUUUGCUAUUCAGAUUGUCAAAACAAAGCAAAAGGGAAAAAAGGUAUGGAAGACCCUAACUUAAUAAGCUCCUCUUAUCUUACUUUUUUUUUUUUUUUGAAUUACAAAUUUGGAUAAUUAGACCUUUUAAACUUAUAAAUUGGUCAAUGACUGCGUCCUUCAACUUAAUAGUUACUAAUUAUAGAGUUGUCCGGCCGUAUAUUUGCAUGUAUUUAUAAAGCUUCAAAGCAUAAAAGUAUUAUUUUUCCAUUAGCUUCAAGGACACAAAUUGAAGUUAAGUAAACUCCAGUUCUUCAUCUCCCAUAUUUUUAAUUAUAAAAAUCGAAGAGAAAAAAAAAUAGUUUUCUUUUUUGGCAUUUCGAAGUUUUACCAGAUUCAUUACAGCUUGUGACUUAAAAUGGUUUCGUAAUUAGUAAACUUCGAUUGAAUCGGACCUAUUAAAUUAUUUGAUAAAUUUUUAAAAAUUUAAUUGCCAAAUUGAGAGUUCAGAUGCCAGUUUAACAGCAGGGUACACAUUGGAGUUAUGAUUUCGUUGGCUGUUUGGUAAUAUUUUUUCUCCCAAACUUAUCUUAAGAAAACCAAUUAUUAACUUCACCAUCGUUCAAAUUGCAAUACUUUUAUUAUUGUAUAUUUUUAUUUUCAUUUUAGCUGAGUUUGCUGCCCAUUCGUAGGCCAAACACACUUCCUCGAUAUUUUUGAGGCACAGAAAAUUUGAAUACGUUAAAGCUUCUUAUCAUGGCUAUGAAAUGGCGCAUGCGUGAAAUUAUUAAACAUUGGAUGUCUUCUUUGGUGCAGUUUUGUCACAUUUUAGAACAUGUGGCCAGCACCACAUUUUUGCAUAUUUAUCAGUACUGAAAAAUGGUGUGAAUUUAAAAAACGAAGCUUCAAUCUGCUUUUGACAUUUGGAGAAACAACUAGAGCUUUUAGUUAAUCGGUGGCAUUACGUUAUGAUGAUUCUGUAUCGAAAGCAUUAUCUAGUUUUAAGUUGGCGUCGUCAAAACCUAAUAACGCAAAAUAUUCAAAAUUUUUACUCGUGAAUGCAGAAAAAUAAUCGCUUCGAAGCUUCUAACACAGCAGAAGUCUAAUUUAAAUUUAUAUUAUAUUUACAGCAAGAUAUUACUAAAAUAAUUAAUAAGUGAAAGAAAUAUUAAAAUUUAUUUUAAUUUCUAAUCGAAGUCGUAAUCCAACUAAUAAAGUUAGUCGUUUGAUCCUUGGCGCGCAUCAAUUUUGUCGCGUAAUCAAAAAAAAAAAUCAUUGUACCUAGACAAUGAGUACCGUACACCUAAUAAUAAUCGAGACAAAUGAAUUGAUUCACCAUUUCUAUUAUUUGACAACAAAAUAUAUUUAAGUGCAUGGACAUUGGAAGAAUGUAACUAGUUUUUCUCAUUUUUUUUUUUAUUUUCUAUGUUUUUUUUCUUCUUUUCUUUAUAAUAUCAACAUGCAUUCUCAAAUCAGACAUUUGCUGAAAAGAAUAUAGAUAUAUAAUUAAAGGUUUAACAAAACAUCUAAUCUAAAUUCAAAGUUAAUUAAACUCAAAUAAGCUUACGCUUGUUUUGUUUUUAGAAGCACCGAUGGGCUCCUAUGCGCCAUAAUUCGUAUUAUGAUGCUUGGAACUUCGAAAUCGAUAAUCGAUCAUAUUAAACCUUGAUCUAAAGUAUUUGAAUACUUAAAAAUAAUUUUUUAAUAUCAUGUUUAGCAGUCAAAGGGGUGUAAAAUCAACGCAUAUUUAAUGAUCGUGAAUGAGCCGUAGCAAGUCUUUAAUUAUGUCGUAAUUAUUCAAAUCAUAAAAAAUUUGAAAUGAAAUAUUUUUUAUAUGUAUCAAAACCAAAUCAGUAUUUUGAUGCUAAAUAUUUAAUGUCUAGUAUAUUAUUUUUAUGUUUAUUUUUUCUUACGUUGAUUUUGAAGCUUUAAAUUUCUAAGUAAUUAAUAUCGAAAAAUUAUUAAAAUUGCUGUUAGAUACUUUACAGAUAUCUAAAGAUUAAAAUUAACAUGAGUCGAUGAACAAUUCCAAAAGUCCUAAUAUCGAAAACUGGCUUUGAUAGGACUGGACCAUCGUAUUUUUCUUAAAAUCACAUGCGGAAUCAUCAAACAUAAAUACUAAAAAAUAAAAAAUAAAAAAUAAAUUUGAGGUCGGUCGUCUAAUUUAUGGUAACUUGAAAGUCUCCAACAAUUUAGUUUUACCAAAAUUAACAUUCAUCAAAACCGUCCAUAUAGCAGGCAGACAGAAUUGUUACAUCAACGUCCAGAUGACAACCAACCGGCUACCAACGCAACAAAUUCCUCACACCGACGCGAUUGAGUGACGAGUAACGGACAAGUUAACGGGGGCGCCGCUCCCUACUGAACGCAGCGAAGUAUGACGGGCGUGAACGUGGCACCGCCUCCCUACGUCAAUAAACGACGCUCUCCGCGUUCAAACCCGCGUCGAGGGACAAUCCGUAAUUUACAGCAGCACGCACAAAUCAUAUAAACGCCGAUUUAAUUAGACGCUUUUCUGGACACGCAGAGAGGAGUGUGUGUAAAUAAGCGAACAGGGAAGGGCAUUUGGGAAAGUGAGGUGUGAUUUUCCACUUAACCAUUUGGCUUAAAUUACGAAAUUACCCUGACGCGUAGGAUAUGUUGAAAAUGCGAAAUCUGCCCCUGACGGGGUUUUUCUUUUCUUUUUUUUUUCUCAUGAGCUCGAUGUGAAUCGGAACCGUUCGAUCUGAAUCGAACGAUGGAUCUCUGGUGCCAUUCUUAUUAUCGGAUUUGGAUUAGAUACGAACAGGCCGUGCAAUGUACGGUACGACAAUCAGAAAACAAGAGGACACUGUGGACGUCUACAUUAAAUUCUUCUGUGGGGCCCACUGUAUAAAUACCAUUUCAUGUUCCACACCAGAAUUUGAUUUUUUUUUCUUAUUAUUUGGAAAAAUGUUAUAUGCUGCACUCCAUCCAUUUUAUAGAGAGAGAGAGAGAGAGAGAGUGUAAGGACUAAUAUUUCUUAUGACUAUAUGAGCCAUUUUUACUCAUUAUUAUUUCUAAUAACAUGGACCUUCUGAAUUGAUGAUCCAUAAUGUUAAAUAUAAACUUGAGUAUUUAAAACUUCUAGAAUAAAUUUUGUAAAUUUUCGAAAUCAUAAUAAAUUCAUCAAGUGGAUAAAUACAGUCAAAAUUGAACGUCUUUCAAAAUAAAUGAUCCGGAUCUUUCAAUUUAAAAUAGAAGUUAUGAUCUUUAUUGAUAGUGAAUAAUAUUUUCUAUCAGAAAUUCAAUUCAAUUUCCGGUUCUUUACACCUAUAUUUUAAACUAGCAGUAUUUUCAUACCAGCCAUUAAAAAUUUUAAUUCAAGAUCUUUUGAUCAUACGUAAAUGAUAUCAAAAAAUUAUGAAAUUUUGAUUUCUAGAAUUUUCAAAAUACUCUAAACUCUCAUUUUAUUUAAAUAAUUAUAUAAAUCAUCGAUUUUUAAAUAUCCUAUCAUCGAGGACCAAUUUAUGAGUACCGAAUACCCAUAAAGAAAAAUUGAUACUUAAAAUUAUACUAAAAUUAUUGAAAAAUAAAAAGUAUCUCUCUAUUUUUCACUCAGCUUCCGUUUUGCUAAGGAUGUGUUUUAUUUUACAAGAAAGCAGAAAAAAAUUAAAAUAAUUUUAGUCAUAAAUGCUCACUUAUGUUGUUGUGAUUCAUUGCAAGUGAAUUAAUGGCCUAACUUAAGCUAUUCAAGUAUCCUAAUUAAUUUAGUUCAUCAAUGGCUAAAAGUCAAUUAUAGAAGAAAAGGAGUCAUGAAAUAUAAUAAAAUAUUAAUGUUGGGAACUUGUUUUCGUCCUCCAUAAUAUCACGUUGAGAAUUAAAUAAUUUUUUAGUGAAAAAAACAGAAUAAAAAAAUUAUCUUUUAUACAAUUAACUUUCUGGCCAAAUAGACAGCAGAACUAGAAUUUAUUUCUGCAACUAUAAAAAUAAUUUACAGAGGAGAACUAAUUUUCAUCUUAGCUUUAGUUCGACUAAAAAUCUAUUUUACACUUAAGCUUUAAUUUUGAUAAAACAAAUAUGCUUCAAAUAAUAUUAUUAGUCCCAAUAAAGGUGGUGAUAAAAAUAUAUUAGAAAUUAAAUUGUAGACUAUUUAACUUAAAUUUAUUUGAUUUAAAUCAUUUCACAUAUAUAUUGAUACAAAAUUAAAUCAAAUUUAUUUAUUUCAAUAAAUUAUAGUUACAAAUUUAUUAAAUAUACUAGUUAAAUAUAUAAAAAUAAACGAUAUAUUUAAAAUUUAAAAUUAAAGCCCCAUUAACAACUUAAAUCAAAAAUAUAUAUAUCAUAUCUUGAAUUUGUUUUUAAAAUGAAAAGGCAUGUGGGCCCACCAAUGCAAUAAUAAUUCGACACAAAGAUCAACAUGUCGUGUCGAAUUAGUUACACUCAACCCUCCUCCGUAUGAUUUGAAAUGCAACUGGGUACGGAUGAGAAUUUACGGAACUGAGGGUAAUUUAGUAAAAACGCAAACAGACCCUUAACGUCAAAAAGCGCCGUGAAACACGGAAAACCCCUCCUAUAUAAUAGACCCGUAAAUUUCCGAAUCCAAGGGCACAAAUCGCUCGAUCCUCUCUCUCUCUCUCUCUCUCUCUCGCCUCUCUCGGCGUUCUCUCCUGCUUCCGUUCUCGCUUUCGCUCGAUCUCCGCGGAGGCGCGAGCCAUGGCGGUCAGCUCACCGACGCACCAGAUCUCCGAGUUCAAGGAGGCCUUCAGCUUGUUCGACAAGGACGGAGACGAGUAGGGUUCCGAUCCGUUGUGGAUCUCUUCCCCGUAGUUAGAUCUUAUUAGAUCGUAGGAUUUGCUAGGGCUUGUUCUCUGAUUCCGGUUUUGAUUGAUUUUAUUGCUGCGAAUUCGAUCGAUUCGCCUCGAAUUGCUUGAAUCGCUGGUAUGUUGCAAAAUGCGGUAAUGGAUGCUUCGAUUUUUGUUUUUGCUGUCGUUGUGUGUUUUUUUGCUUGUUUCCUCGCUAUGUUUAGGAGUUUUUUACAUGUUUCUCGCAUGAUCCGGUCGACUUGUUAUAAUAAAUGUUCAUUUGUCUCAAUCUUGUUUAAUUAGUUGCUACUUUAAUUUCUAUAAUAUACGCUAUGAUUGUAGUGUGCUGAUGUGAAAUAGGUGAAUUAAUGCGUUAUGAUUUAUGGUGACAGAAAUGUAUUAUAGGAAUUGUGAUAGCUUGGCCUAAUAACAUGUGUUAUGCAUAAAUUGAUGUGUGCCUAAUUCUGAUAAGGACUUGAUGGAAAUAAUUGUAGUAUUGAAUGUAAUUAACGUAAUAUGCAUGAAAGGAUUUUUUUUGAUACAUCGAAAAGAGAUGCUUUUUUUUGUUGGUAACUUGUUCUGAGAUUCCCUCAUUAUAGGCUAUUUUAAAAUUGUGUACCCCAAAAACAGUUUUUUGGAUCAAACACCCCUUUAUUUUUUUUUCCUUCUAUUUUGAAUAAAUCUAGUUAGUUAAGUUGAAGCUUUUAUAAGUUUAAGAGCUUCAUUAGUUUAUUUCUGUUUGAUGUUGUUUCUUUUGCUGAAAAGUGAUUCAAGAAAAAAAAAAAAAAAAAAAACUAAAAUUGAGGGUGCCACAUCACAAUGUCCUGCAGUUACGGGAAGUAACAUACAUUUUUACCUUUCUUUGUAUGUGCUUGAAAGUAAGUUUUCAUGUAUUUAAGCGAUUUAACCAUGGCAGUGUGAGUAUGUUGUACAUCAUGCUUGGAAGGAAUUGAGCAAAUCCAUUAUUAUCUUUGAAGGAUUUAGUGAAAAUACACAUUGCAGAGGAUGGCAUACAAAAACGAGUUUCUGCUGAUAUCCGUUAAAAUGUUUUGACUGUUUGAUGGUGCUAGAAAAUACAUAGAUGGCAAAUAUGCGUAGAAACCCUCUCAACUAUAGUUUUUUGAAGCAUGUUUGUACAUGCGAAUAACAGGUAGCAUUGCAUCUCUCAUAAUCUUUAGCGUGUUAUAUUUUUGUUUCCUCCUUUACAGAUAACAUGAAGACUAAAAGGAAUAAUCCUGAUUUCUAAUGCUUCUUGUACACAAUAGAUGCAUCACAACUAAGGACUGGGGACAGUGAUGCGCUCGUUGGGCCAGAACCCAACCGAGCGGAGCUGCAGGACAUGAUCAACGAGGUGGAAUGCAGAUGGCAACGGACCAUCGACUCCCCUGAGUUCCUUAACCUGAUGCCCGCAAGAUGAAGGACACGGACUCCGAAAGGAGCUCAAGAGGCCUUCAGGGUCUUGACAAGGACCUAGAAGCUUCAUCUCCGCCGCGGAGCUCCGGCCAUGUCAUGACCAACCUAGGCGAGAAGCUCACCGACGAGGAAGUCGACGAGUGAUCCGUGGAGGCUGACGUCGAUGGCAGACGCCAGAUCAACUAUGAAGAUUCUCAGAGGUCAUGAUGGCUAAAUGAGGAAGAUUUCACAGACUGAUCGGUACAAUCGCCGUUCUUUGUUUUUGUUUCCAUUCUCUUCUGGUAGUUAUCUGUGUAGCUGUACUUGUGCAAACAGAAAAAAAGAAUGCCCCCUGUCAUGCUUUUUGCUCAUAAUGUUGCUAAAUCAUGUUUUCCUUCUGGAGUUAUUUGGACUCACUUGGAUAUUUUAUUGGGUUAUUUGAGUUUAUUUGAGUGCCAACAUUGUGAUGAUCUUAUGUGGUGAUAUUUUCGGUUACUGUUACUGUGAUUGGAGAGUCAAAGACCUUGUUAUAGGAUCAGCGACUUAAUUUUUGAUUGUCGAUAUAAUACACGUUGCAUUCCUCUUCAUGAUUACUGCUUAUGGCUUAUACAAGAUGAUGGGUGUGGCUUGCCUCAUGAAUACUGUGUUUUUUCCUAGGAAAAUCCAAUGUUAUUUUUAUAUAUUUUUGAGAAAAUUGCAAAUGCAUGUUUUUUUUAUAUUUUUUUUUCCCAGAAAGGAAUAUAUGUGACUUGGUGUUUCAUUAAGUAUGAAGUUUGGUAAAAGAAGAAGGAGACGGAAGGAGAUGAAGAUCAGGGUCUUCACGCCAUAAUUAUUAGUGUUAAAGACAAUGAUUAAGUGAAUCAUUAAGCACAGUAGUUUUAAGUACCAAGCAGUUUUCGGAUUGGAAGUUUGGAACAGAUUUACAUUAGAUCUCUAUCAAGACAUGGCUCGCGGCAGCUAAAUGAAUGUAGGGAGAGUUUUUUUAAUCUUAGAAUGUUUGCUGAUCCCGGAUCGGCACAGCUAAAUGAAUGUAGGUUUCUUUUAUCUUAGAAUGUUAUGCUGAUCCGGCUCGACACGGUAAAUGAAUGUAGGUUUCUCUUUAUCUUAGAAUAGUUUCUUUAUCUAGAAUGCAUGCCUGAACCUGGGUAUCUCCCUUUGUUUUCAUGUUAGAACGGGAAUAUGGCUUCUUUGAACUAAACUAAUACAGGUGAAAGUACACUUCUUGCCAGGGUGUUCUAGUGAUUGCAACAAAGAUACAAUGUGCUACGGGCACGAACGUACAACUUAUUUUAUUGUACUAAUAAAAUAUCAUCAUAAGAUCUAACAACACCAGAAUGAGAUCUAGUUUUUUCACAAGUUUUUUUUUUAAAAAAAGAUUAUAAGAAAAUCGAUGAUUAAUUUGUACUCGACAAAGAACGCGAUCAAUCUCAUAGAAAUUUGAACGAAGAAAUGAGAGGAAUAUAAUUCACGAUGGAAAAAAUUCAAGAAACGAUUUUGAGAUUAUUUUUUGGAUAUACAUAUUUUUCUCUGAUACCAAAAUGAUACAUGACAAUUGAAAAAAAUUCUAAUCUAUCUUGUUAGUAAUGAACGAGAUUUAUAUAAAAUUGAAAUUAAUUUUUUUUUAAAAAUUUUAGAAAUAACUUUAAAAGAUUUAAGAUAAGAAUUAAACAAAGAAUUAGAGAAAAAUAAAAGAGAAGGAAGAGAUAAGAAAAGAAAAGAAUAAACUUUGAGAAAGGUAGAUGUUUGCCAGCACAUUCAGCAAAAUAUAUAUAUAUAUAUAUAUAUAUAUAUAUAUAUAAUUAUAUGAGUAGGCUAGAAUACUUUUACAAGUAUCACCCAAGUGAUACUUGUGUGUUUUAGCCUUGGAUGGAGAGAUUGAGGUUGAGAUAUGGUGGUAGUGUGUAGGUGGUGGUAGUGAAUAGUGUUUGAUCCAAGGGCUAUUUGUAAUCAAAAAGUAGAUCCAAUGCUAAAAACUGAUAGCAACAUGGGAAUGAUACUUGUAAAAGUAUCAUCCUAGAUCAACUCAUAUAUCAUUAUAUAUAUAAUUAUAUUUCAUUAUAUUUUGUCUCUAUAAAUAAACAGUAGGCUACAUUUAGAUCAAUCAAAAUAUAAUCCUAAUUUAAAAUAAAGUUUCAGCAUUUUAAGUAUCUUUCUAAGAGUUCGGCUAUGAUACUUUUAAAGAACAACACAUUAGGUGGCAUGUAAGUAUUAUACUGUUAGAUCUACUUCUUUGACAUUUUUAUCGUUUAGAUUAUAUUUUCAUCAAUCACCCAUCUUAAUUAUACGGGGCACUAUUAUUUUAAUACUCACAUACCUUAAUCUAAGGUCUCGAAAAUCAAUGUAAGCACUAAUAACUUGAUAUUUUUAGAAACAAUAAAAGCUCAAUUUAUCUUUUUAAUCCAAUAUAACCUAAAAAAAUUAAAUCAUAAUUCCUAAUUUUAGAAUUUAUUUAUUAGAAAUUCUAAAAUUUUUAAAGAAAACUUCAAAAAACCCCCUGUAUUUUCGUGCGUCUCCACUUUGCUACCCUGUGGUUUAAAACGUAUCAAUUUACCCCCUGUGGUUUCAUUUUUAUCUUUUCGGAAGCUUUUUCGUUAAUAUUUCGUUAAAUUAUAUACAAAAAACUUCAGAUAACCCUUAUAUUUAUCGAUAAAGAUAAAAACGAAACACAGGGGGGCAAAUUGAUACGUUUUAAACCAAGGGUAGCUAAAGUGAGAAUGCACGAAACCAUAGGGGGGGUUUUUGAAGUUUUCCCUUUUUUAAAAGAUAACUCAAAUAAUUUCAAAAAUUAAAAAUAAAUUUAGAAUUAAAAGGAGUCAAUCCUAUCUUCCAAUCAGCGUGAAAAAAAUGUAUGGUUUCUCCUCCUUCAUUUUGGUUGCUUGAAAAUUGAUUUUUCGACCAACUCCGACAAACUCAAGUAAGUGUGUUUGGCCUAACUUUUGCAAAAUAAUUUUGAUCAAGUAAUUUUUUACACAUAGUGUGUUGAUAAUUUCGUUUCGAAUUUAAUUCUAAUUUUUAGUCUAAUUUUAAAGCCUAAAAAUCAGAAGCAGUUAAAACUUCAUUCUUAAAAUUUGAUUCUGAUGACUCAAAUUUUAAAAUUUUAUUUUUAUUUUAGAUUCAAAUUUUAAAUUUUAUAUUUGAAUUUUUAAUUUUAAAUCUCAAUUUCAAAUUAAAAUUUUAGAUUUAAUAUUAAAUUCAAUUUUAAAAUUUCUCUAAUCUCAAAUUUUAAAAUUAAAAUUCAAAAAUUAAGAUAAAAUUUUAAAAUAUGAAGCUUUAAAAUUUUAAAUUUAAAUUCAAAAUUUUAAAAUUUAAUUUAAAUAUACAUUUUCAAAUCACAAAUUCAAAUUUUAAAUAAAAAAUAAAAAUUUAAUUUUAAAUUUUAAGUUUUAAAUCUUAAGUUUUAAAUCUAAAUUCAAAUUUUGAAUUUUAAAUAUCAACUUUUAAAUUUUAAUUAAAUAUCAAAUUUUAAAAUUUUGUGCACAUUUUAAAAUUAAAAUUAAAAUUAAAUAAAAUUCAAAAAUUUAAAUUGAAUUCAAAAUUUUAAUUUUAAUUUAAUUCAAAUUUUGAAUAUUUUAAAAUAAAAUUUAGUAAAAAAAUUAUUAUUUGCAAACGGUAAAAUUUUUUGUCGAACAACUCUGCAAAAUUACUUCAGAAAAAAUACUUUUCACGUAAAAUUCAGCCAAAAGCUUUAACAAUUUUUUACAAAAAAUUAAUUGAACAAAAAAUUAUGUAAGGGCCCGGACGAUCCGCAACCCGCUCAGGUUAAAGAUCUGAGGGAAGUAGGAUGAAGGGAAAUAGAGAGGUUGAGAGAUGAGGCAGAGAGAGGUUGGAAGGAGGACAUAAGAGUUAGGAGAAUUAGGGAGAAAGAAAACUUGUAUUAAUUCUGUGAAUCCUGUUUACAUUACAUUCGGUAAUUAUACUACUUGCUAUCUUGAACUGAAAUGAAAAUUAUCUAGUCUAUGAGGGCUAAACAGCAAAAGUGAUGAAUCUCGGGAUGGUCUGGUGGGCUGCCAUUCGGUAGACGGGCCCCGUUGGCUUGACCGGUCCAGGAGUAUUGUAACCGGGAGCGGAUAUCAGUUCGUCCUCCGCCAAACGCGGCUGUGCGGUCCGCGUUUUACGUCCUAUCUGCGAAUCUGCCGCCCCGCUCCGCAAGAGCUUGAGUACUUCCGCCCUUCCCCAUCUCUAGAUUCGGACGGUCUCGUCCUCUGCUCAACCUUCCCUUCCCUUCCUUCCCUUUUUCCUAUCGAGGGAUGCCCUAGUCGCCUUCUCGGACCUUUCCUCCUCGAUGGCUAGCCGGAGUUCCUCGAACACCUCCCCGCCUGACCAACUCGCCGAAUCAUCCUCUCCACCCUGCUGGCUCGCGUGCUGCUACUUAUAUCUUCACUACCUAGUAAGUUUCUUCUUCUUCUCUUCUUACUUCUUCUGUUCUUCUUCUCUCUUUUUUUUUUUUUUUUUUUUUUUUUUUUUUUUUUUUUUUGAGAGAGAGAGAGAGAGAGAGAGAUAGAUAGAACUUUUUGCAUAAAAAAUCUACUUAUUUUGGGCUUUUUGCAAAAUCGGAUCACCUUUUUCGUUUUUGCAGAUUCGGUCAGCUUUUCAGCAAACUUACCAAAUAUCCUUAUACUUUUUCUCUUCCUCUUUUUCUCUCCUCUUCGUUCUCUCUUUUUUUUUUCCGCCGAAAAAAAAAGCGAAGGCCAGGCGAGUAAUAUUUUCUUCUCUUUAUUCUUUUUCUUCUUCUCCUGCUCUGAGCACCUUUUUUUUUCCUUCUUCAUCUUCUUCUUACUCUUUCUUCUCUUCUCCUGUAAAGAGCACGGGGCCCCACGCGACUUCCGGCGUCGCCAAGCGGUGUCCACCGGCGGCGUUUCGGCAGGGAGGGGUCGGCACCGGUGACGCGAGCGCGCGGUGAGGGUGGGGGCGCGCGGAGUGCGGCGGCGAGGUUGACGAGGUGGAGCGGGGUGUCGCAGCCGGGGACGUCGCACCGGUCGAGGGCGGCGGUCACGCGCGCGCUGUUGCGAUCUCCGACGGCUGCUUCUUCUUCUUCGUAAUGGUGUAAUGGUGACCGGUGCAUGUAGCGGCGGCGGGCGGGCACGCGGGAGCGCCGCGGCUGCUUCUUCUUCGUCGUAAUGGUGUAAUGGUGCACCAUUACACCAUUAAUGGUGAAAUUACACCAUUAACGGUGCACGCGGCCCGCGGAGCGGAGCCGCUUGUGGAGCUCCGCCGGGCACAACCGGCCGAGGGCCUCCUCGAAGCGCGCCAGCAGCGUGGCGUGUCACCGGCGCUGCCGCGCGGAGCGGGCAGCAAAGUCGUGGCCGAGCCCCCCGACCGACUCAUGGGCCAGCACCUCUCUCUGCGGGGCCCAUGACUGCACCACUAUGCCCCUCUCCCUGGUCCGGUAUGGAAACCCCUCCGGUAGCAGCUUCUCCAGGUCUGGCUCGGGCGGCGGCAAGAAGCGCUUCUCCGGGUCGUCGUUGUCGUCGCUCGGUGGGCUUCUGACCACCUACAAGAACCUGUGCCCGCUCUUCUCGAUCCCCUUCGCGAGCUCUUUUAGCUGCGCCGCGGAGAAGCGCCCGACGCUCCCGAAGCAGAGGAACACGACGCUCGCCUUGGGCUGGGAGUCGAGCCACGCGAGGCACUCCUCGCCGCGCCCGCGGGCGUCGUCGCUGGAUUUGACGAGCGGGCCGACGCAGUAGACGGGCGGGGUGGGCCGGGGCCGCUCGUGGUCGGGGACGCAAAGCCUCGCGGCGAUCAGGGCGUCCACGGCGCGGGGCUCGAGGGAGCGGGAGGUGUUGACGAUGAUGCUCGCGCAGCGGGCCAGGCGCCGGGAGUGGCCGAGGAAGCCCUCGUAGGCCUCGCCGGCGCGGUCGAGAAUCGGGAGGGGCAUGUGGUCGGCGGGGAGCGGGGGCAUGCCCGGGUCGCGCAGCGGCUCCGCGCCGAGCUCUCUGAAGCAUUUCGCCGAGCGGGCAUGAAGCAUGGGGAGGUGGAGGAACACGGCGAGGGCGGAGGCGCCGGAGGUGAAGAGGAAGUAGGCGGGGAGCGCGAGCUCGGCGGCGACGUCGAGGGCGUCCGUGCAGAAGAAGUCGAGGACGAGGGCGCGGGGCGAGGGGGAGAGGGAGCGAAGUCCUGCGUGAGCGGCGCGUGCUGGGGAGGGCUCUCGCUGCCGCCGGCCACAACCUCGGCCACUGGUUCGAGCGGCUGCCUCGGCCACGACUUCGCUGCCCGCUCCGCGCGGUAGCGCCAGCGCCACGCCGCGCUGCUGGCGCGCUUCGAGGAUGCCCUCGACCGGCUGCGCCCAGCGGAGCUCCACCCGCGGCUCCGCUCCGCGGGCCGCGUGCACCGUUAAUGGUGUAAUUACACCAUUACACCAUUAAUGGUGUAAUGGUGUAAUUUCACCAUUAAUGGUGUAAUGGUGCACCAUUACACCAUUACGACGAAGAAGAAGCAGCCGCAGCGCGCCCGUGUGCCCGCCCACCGCCGCUGCGUGCACCGGCCCGCGUGCACCAUUGCACCAUUACAAAGAAGAAGAAGCAGCCAUCGGAGNUAAAUUUUAAUUUAAAUUCAAAUUUUGAAUUAUUUUAAAAUAAAAUUUAGUAAAAAAAUUAUUAUUUGCAAACGGUAAAAUUUUUGUCGAACAACUCUGCAAAAUUACUUCAGAAAAAUCACUUUUCACGUAAAUUCAGCCAAAAGCUUUACAAUUUUUUAUCAAAAUUAAUCUUGAAACAAAAAUUAUGUAAGGGCCCGGACGAUCCGCAACCCGCUCAGGUAAGAGAUCUGAGGGAAGUAGGAUGAAGGGAAAUAGAGAGGUUGAGAGAUGAGGCAGAGAGGAGGUUGGAAGGAGGAAUAAGAGGUUAGGAGAAUUAGGGAGAAAGAAAACUUGUAUUAAUUCUGUGAAUCCUGUUUACAUUACAUUCUGGUAAUUAUACUACUUGCUAUCUUGAACUGAAAUGAAAAUUAUCUAGUCUAUGAGGGCUAAACAGCAAAAGUGAUGAAUCUCGGGAUGGUCUGGUGGGCUGCCAUUCGGUGGUAGACGGGCCCCGUUGGGCUUGACCGGUCCAGGAGUAUUUGUAACCGGGUGAGCGGAUAUCAGGUCGUCCUCCCCGCCAAACCCGCGGCUGUGCGGUCCGCGUUUUACGUCCUAUCUGCGAAUCUGGCCGCCCGCUCCGCAAGAGCUUGAGUACUUCCGCCCUUUCCCCAUCUCUAGAUUCGGACGGUUCUCGUCCUCUGCUCAACCUUCCCUUCCCUUCCCUUCCCUUUCUUCUCUGAUCGGAGGGAUGCCCUAGUCGCCUUCUCGGACCUUUCCUCCUCGAUGGCUAGCCGGAGUUCCUCGAACACCUCCCCGCCUGACCAACUCGCCGAGAUCACUCCUCUCCACCCUGCUGCUGCUGCUGCUGCUACUUAUAUCUUCACUACCUAGUAAAGUUUCUUCUUCUUCUUCUUCUNACCGCCGCCCUCGACCGGCGCGACAUCCCCGGCUGCGACACCCCGCUCCACCUCGCCGCCCGCCUCCCGUGCGCCCCCACCCUCGCCGCGGCGCUUGCGGUCGCCGGUGCCGACCCCUCCCUACAGAACGCCGCCGGGUGGACGCCACUUGGCGAGGCCGGAAGUCGCCGUGGCGCGCCCCGUGCUCUUACAGGAAGAAGAAGAAGAAGAUUUUUCGGCGAAAAAAAAAAAAAAACGAGAGAACGAAAAGGAGAGAGAAAGAGGAAAGAGAAAAAGUAAUAAGGGUAUUUUGGUCAGUUUGCUGAAAAACGAACCGAAUUUGCAAAAACGAAAAAGGUGGCCCGAUUUUGCAAAAGCCCAAAAUAAAUAGAUUUUUUAUGCAAAAAGGCCUAGAUAGUACGCUAUUCGUUUCGUUUAUUUCAUGUAGAAAUAAACUAAGCUGAAAAUGUGAAUCAACUAGAAUUCGAACUUAAAAUUUCGGGUAUCAACCACCAAGUACUCUGCCAUUUUGCCACUUGUUUUAGGGACGGUCGGUUUGCUAUUUUUCUUUAACUCCUCUCUUAUUACCUCUACUCUUUUAUUCUGCAGGCCUAACAAAUAAAUUCUAUAUAACUCACUUUUUCAGAAUCUACGCGGCCUAAUUGCUUACUUCCGUCUUGCUGGGUUUUGCGCCGCGGCCAUCAUGAAUCUUCACAGCGUAGUCCACUCACUGCAAGAACAGACGAGACUCACAAGUGCACAUGCAUUUUAAGAUUUGACGUAGUACGAGAACUGGGAACUUACCCUGGCAUAGGGGAUUGAAUAUCUUAGGCACCACUCCAUCAUCAUCGGGCAAUCCUUGAUUAGUACAUUCUGCGGAACGGAUCCGAGCCUUUCGUCAGGCGAAAUGCGCAACUGCUGACACCGGAGUGCGAUCAAGAUGCUCAGCGAUCGAAUGUUCUGCAGCCCGGUCACCCUAGUGAGCUUUGGACAGUUCACAAUCUGCAGUUCCUGGAAAGCCUGCAGGUUUCCGCUCAGCGGCGGCAGAGAAGUUAGCUUGUCGCAGCUUCUGACCACGAAAGAGUCGAGCGCAGAAGGAAGCCACUCAUCUGGCAAGGAAAGCAGCUCCGGGCAAUCCUGUAUGAGCAAGUGCUGCAGCGAAUUGAGACUGUUGAGCCCGGCGAUCGAAACAACUUCUCUGCAAUUUGACAGUUCCAGCCUCUCCAGCAUCGGGACGUUCGGAUCGUUAGGGAAGAAACCAAUGAACCCGCGGUAGAAUUGGUAGGAUUGAGAUGCGGACGGCGACUGCUCGGAGUUCUUUAUGCAUAGAUAUUCGACGGAGGGGAGGUUGUGGGCCGCGAGGGCAGACGGCAUCUCUUUGUCGUCGGACAGAGUUAGUCCUCGGAGUGCGGAUAUUUUCUGAUUGCACCAGAAACCAAGUCAGAUAGUCGAAUGCUAAGGAAUUCAGUAUUGUUUAUGAUUCUUGAUUGGUUUUUGCUCCCAUCGUGUCGUUUCAUUAGCUUGCGAACUCUAUCAGCUUUUUGAAAAGGACGUGACAAGGAAAAAUUUCUACUACAUUAAUUAUUUUCCUCGCGCGUGUGUUUGAAGUAAACCCAUGAAUGUAUAUAGCUUGUAAACAAUCUGACAAUAGAGAAGCUCUGUAAGAUUCAUCUCUAAGUAAAAAAGAAACUCGAGGAAAAGCCAAUACGUGAAACAAAAACAUUACGAAACCAGUCCUACGGUAAAAGAAGACAGAAAAGGAGAGGAGUGUUACCUGAACGUAGUCGCAUUUAUUUUUGUGACACCAUUUUACGAGCCUGGGACAAUCAACAACUUCCACGGGAGUAGGCACGGAGCAGAGCUUUUCGUCACACGACAGAUGGAGCUGAGGACAGCACGCUAAACGCAAGCUCGUGACGGAAGUGAGCGUGUGCAGGCCGCUUACUGAAGCGAGCCUCCAGCAGCGAGCGAUGUGCACAUAUUGGAGCUUAGAGUGCAGGGACAGCUCAAGCUCAUGAAUCCCGCAAUCACUUAUCUCCAGUUUCUCGAUCUUGCGGAGAUUGUCCAGCCCCAGCAAUGAUGUUAGCUGCUGACAACCCUUGAUACUCAAUAUCUGAAGAGCAGGAUGGCUUCCUUGCUCUUGACACAAAGAAAGAGACUUCAGGCUCUCGCAUUCGUAGAUAUAGAAAGAACAAAGGGCGGGGAACGACAGGAGUUUCCAUAGCUUUGGGCAGUACUUUAUCGAGAGCUGCUUAAGUCGAGGGAAGUCUCCGCUAAGCACUCCAACCCACUCCUCCCACUUCGGCAUAUGUUUGAAUUCGAGCUUCUCGAGCGAUGGAAAUGCAACGCUAUUUCCGCAAAACUCAUCACCGAGUUUCUCUACACCUACGCCAGUCACAGAGAGAGAUGUAAGAGACGGAAGCCGACCCAACGGUGGAAGGAAAUUGGUCUCUCUGCUGUAGCAAUGAGUUAGGAAGAGGGUGGUGAGCUGUGACAGCGCAAAAGGAUCGCCCAUCCAGCAAGGGAAUUUAGUACCAGUGUAUCCAUCUAUAGUCAAUUUGGAAAUGUUUCUAUGAGGCCGGAGCUUAUCGAGUACUUCUUCUAUGUUGCUGUUAUUCGCUUCUUCGAAGUCGUUCGAACUCACUUCCAAAUGAAGUUGCCCUUCCUCUUUAUCAUUCCCAUUCUUGUCAACUUCUUGAUGCUCAGUAACAGGCCUUGUCCACUUCAAUUUCAAGUUCCUCAAAUUUCUUUUGCUUUCAAGAUUGAUCCUCUUUACGUGCUCUAGAUCAACCACAUUUUCAAGCCCUGAGAUGCAUAAUGUUCCUCCGAGUUUCACCAAGUUCUUCAACUCACCCAAUCCUCCGUGUCUAUCAUCGCUUUUACCUUUGAGAGACGCCUCCAAUUUUCGGAGAUUAGUCAACAUUCCAAGCCCAUGUGGUAUGGGGCGAAUCUUAGUGUGAGAGAUGUCAAGAGAGCACAGGCUGGUAAGCUGUUUUAUGCAGCCGGGCAGUUCUUUAAGUCUGUAACAAGAGUUCAGAUCAAGAAACCGCAAGCUGGAAAGCAGAAAUACUGUUUCGGGCAACUUCUCAAUUUUCGUGCUGUGAAGUCGAAUGUACCGGAGGUUGAUAAGGUUCCCGAUUGCUUCAGGUAAUUCCACCAGAGAAGAACAAUGCUGCAGAUCGAGCGUUUGCAAGUUGUAAAGAAGGCAUACUAAUUCAGGUAGCUUCUGCAGUUUACGCCCGAUGACAGAAAGGUAGCGCAAGUGUUUUAGGCCGCCAAUUGAAUCUGGUAACUCGCUCAAUGCAUGCAGAUUCAAUUCAAGCACCCGUAAGUACGCCAACUUUGAAAAUAUAAUUUGAGAAUCAGUCAGAUCAGUGUCUAAGCUAUAGUUUAGUAGCGAGCGCACGGCUCUAGGGGGGUUCUCAGCGGAGAGAAAAUUGAGUGACAUUUGAUUCUCGCUGCCGUAUAGAUGCUGAACUAUGUUCGAGAUGUAGAAGAGCAUCUCAUUCCCGGAAACUGAUUUUGCAAGAUCGUGGAGCAUGUCAUGCACUCUGUACGUGUCUCUGCCGUACUUGCGGAAGGAAUCUAACAAAAAUCUCCCUUGCAGCUCGUCGAAAUACUCUCCGCCUAUUUCUUCCAAACUCUUGUUCGCCUUUGGGUGGAUGUAAUUGUGUGCGAUCCACAUUCGAACGAUCGUGUCUUUCUGGAACUCGUGGCCUUUAGGGAACGCGGAAAAGUACAAGAAGCACGGCUUAAGAUGUUUUGGCAAGUGGCUGUAGCUCAAUUUCAGAGCUGGCAGGAUGCUGCUUCUUCCCUCAUCCAACUCCCACAAGUCGCUUUCGAGUGUAUCUAUCCAUUUUUCUUCAUCAACUUCGUACCGAAGAAGGCCUCCUAAUGUCUUCAGGACUAGAGGCAAUCCACCGCACUUCUUGACAAUCUUGCGGCCGAUCUCAAGCAAGUUCGGAUGCGCGUUCGGGUCGUGUCUGCCAAAAGCAUGCUGCUGGAACAACCUAAUGGACUUGUCUUUGGGCAGGUAGUCGAGAUGGUACGGCGGCAUAGUCUGAAUGUUCUUAGUAACUGAACUGUUUCUGCUGGUGAUCAAAAUUCUCACAUAUUCUGCGCCGAUGAGGGGAACUCGGAAACAUUCCCACAGAUUUCGAUUCGCAUUCCACAUGUCGUCCAGCACAAGUAACACGCACUUCUCUUCAGUUUCCUUUCUGAGUGCUUCCUGCAGCGCACUGAGUUCGGUAAGAGCACAAGGUUGGUUAGUCAUAGACUCGAUGAUUGCUUUUGUCACCCGCAGAAUGUCGACAUUCUCGGAUACCGACACCCAGGCCCUUCGAUUAAAAUGUGGGCGCACUCUCGGAUCGUUGUAGACUAGCUGAGCCAGAGUGGUCUUCCCCAGCCCACCCAUGCCGACGAUCGGAAUGACGGCGAAAUUGGAAACACUUGCAGAGAUCAGCAGUCCUACUACCUGUAAGAAAGAUUGCUUACAUAGUGAACCCAAGAACAUCGACUGAAUAAAGAUGAAAGUUAAUUUAUAAAUGAUACUAUAAUAAUUAGUACUUGGUGAUAAAAGAUUGGGUGAGACAAGUCUGACAAAGAUAUUAAUCUAUAAUAAUUAAGUUAGCUUUUCUUAAUUUUGACUUUUGCCUCGUAUAACAACUUAUAUUAUCUUCCGAGAGGGUUUUAUGCAAUUAAUAUGUACUAAAUUUAAAAAGGGAUGAAAUGUACAAACAUCUUAAAUAUUCGCACUUUUGCAUGUAGUAAUCGUUUAAACUUGUAAUGUUUUUGCAUCCAGCUUCCCCAAACUUCAUCAAUUAUCUCAUCCAGCAAAGUUACUAACUAUGGGAUGAUUGAGUUAUAUGAUCGAACCAUCUGGCCCAGGUGUUGAGUCUGUCAGAAUGGGAUGGGUUUGCAUGAGCUGCGAGUUAUGUCUGGCAUGCGUAGGGUCACAUUAGCUGGGCCGAAAUUGGCUAGGGGCCGGCCCGGCAUGACCCGCCUUUAAAUUCGGGCCGUGCGAUGCUAGGCUCGAGCAACCUAGACUCUGGGCCAGUACGACCCUUUGGCCCGGAAGGCGAGGGCCGUCCCCCGUGAUGGGCUUUUGGUUCAUUUGACCAAAAACACCCCUCUCAAGAUCUGCCUAGCAGACCUUGGGAGGAAAGCUCCUGGGGAGAAGGGCCCAAGGCAAAUUGCUUAGGCCUUGGGGUCCAGGACUGUUGGCCCGGCUGGCAUGGUCCAAGCGGGCCGUGCCGUGCCAGACCGCCCACCCUUCCUCGGCCUGGCACGAUCCAGGCUCGUUUUAGGCCGUACCGAGCCGAGCCGAGCCGAGCCGUCGGAACCUAGACGUGAGGCCCAGCGUGGCCCAAAAGUUCGGGUCGGGUCGGCCCGGCAUGGGUCCUAGUUCUACAGUAUCCGUGUCGUGUUGUAGUCCGGCCCGCGGCCUUGCCGGGCUGGGCGACCCACGUGCCGCCGGCCUAUUUUACACCCCUAGGCAUGCGUGAGUUGCGAUUGGAGGAAAGUUAUAUGGUCUCUUUUGUAGGUCAUAAGCGCUGAUUGGAGGAAAGUUAUAUGGUCUCUUUUGUAGGUCAUAAGCGUUAUGUGUGUUUUGCGGUUGGAAAACUAUUCCAAUAGUACGUACAGAUAGAAAGGGCGCAACCAUCAUACUCAACCACAGCACUCACGGACUUCGAUCUGACUCAACCUAUGUGAACGUAACAAUCCCUUUCCAACAUCUGCACCGUUAAUGGAGCACGUGCUGGUAGAAAGGGCACACUCAUUGCACUUAAGGGCUAAACCAAAGUGCUCACGAACAGCAAUCUAACUUAACCCAUCUAGACGUUAUGCCUAUUAUUGGGCCUCUUGCCGUUAGGUUGCUUGUGGACCGUAGCUCCACUCAACUUAUUAGGCUCAUCCGACUCAAUUUAUUAGUCUCAUGAAUCUAUUAUCAUAGGGCAAAAAGUUGAAUUUAUUUUAGCCCAAUAAUAAAUAGCCAACAUCUUUGACAUUGAUUAGUCUCUCAGUUGGGGCUGGAUGAUAUUGAGUGUACCGUUGCAAUAAAGAAAAGACAGGAUUUUACUUGGAUGUAGGAUAUAUUAUGCGGACCAGGCAGCAAUUGUCUUAAAUAGUAUAGUAAAAUAAUAUAUUUCACAUUACACGAUUGCCUAGGACAAAAUAAUGGCUACUAAAAUGCUACAUUUUGCCGAGUGGAGCUAGAAUACUUGUAAAAGUAUUAUGUGAGUGGUACUUUUGAGUUUUUAGUCAUUGGAUGGAGAGAUGUGAGGUUGAGAUGAUGGUGGUAGGUGGUGGUAGGUGAAAUAGUGUUUGAUCCAAGGGCUAUUAGUAAUCAAGGAGUAGAUCUAAUGGCUAAAAACCUAAUAGCAUCAUUGGGGUAAUACUUGUAAAAGUAUUCUAGCUCAAUUCCAUUUUGCCACUCUAUUUUUUCUAAAUUAUGUCCUUAUCAUUCUAUAGUUUGUAAAUUAUAAUAUUUUAUGUGAGAUUUUAGAUAGUCUUAUAUAUAAGAUAUAAUCGACAUAAAAUUUUUUAAUUUGGCUUAAAUAUUUUGGAUAGUAAAUAGGCCCAAAAGAUUACGAGAGUUAAGCAUGUUAGGACAGAAGUAGUCCUAAAAUGGGUGACCCUCGAGAAGUUGGGAUGCCACAGUUGGUAUCAAAGCCAAUUAGCAGCUGAAAGUGUGAGAUGAGUCUUAGCUGAGUCAGAAUUAUACAGCGGGGAGAGCAAGACUCUUACACUGUUGACUGUUGUGGAUGGAGCACAGUUCACCAUAAGGUCAGUUUAGACUAGCGAUACAAGUUUCACAUCGUCUGAUAUUUGUGAGUCUAAACUUGACGAGAAUGUCAGGACUUAAGAGAGAGAGAAUGUAAGACUACUCUUAACUGGUCUUAAAUAUUUUAGAUGGUGAUUUGACCCAAGAAUUUAAGAAAGUUAAGUAUAUUAAGACGGAAGAAAUCUUAUGAUGGAUAAUUUUCUGGGAAGUUGGAGCGUCAUAUUUUAGUAUCUUACAUACCAAUUGAUCUCUAUAGUAAUAUAAAGAGAAAACUAUAGGAUAACAAAAUAAAAUUUUAACUUUAAACUAUAAAAUAAAAAGUGAGAAUCUAUUAAAUCACAGAGAAAGGGUCAAAUUGAAAUAUCUCCUAAUAAUUAACAACCAUGAAUUAUAAGGAUUCUAAUUAAAAUAAAUAAUCUGAAGAUCCAAUACAAGCCAGUCACCUUCAAAGCAUUAGCAAUUAGGUUGUCCACAAUUUCCUACAAUAUUACAUUAGUUAUGAGUGGCCUAAUUAUUGGCAAGAUUUUAUUUCAAUUAUUAAAUUCUGAUUUGUUUUAUUAAAAAUAUUGAACUGCAUUUUUUUAUUUUAAUUGGAUCAAUAAAAUUUUAAUUUUGAUGAAGUACAAUGUAGCAGCUAAUUUAGCUAUCAAAAGACGACAUAAUAACAAGUACUACUCAUUUCAAGUGCUAUGUCAUUUUAAAAAUUUUAUUAUUUAACUAUCUAUUAUUUCCGAGAUGGUGUGACAACUUAAUUAAUUAGCAACCAAAUUAAUUAUCUUCAAGCCAUACAUAUAUCAGCAUUCGAUCAUGUCAUCUAAUAGAUGAUUUGUUGACUGAAUAACCUAUUACUUUAUUAUUAAUUUAUUUAAAAAUUAAAUUUAACUGAUUGUAACAUAAUAAAUUAAAUAAAAUUAGAAAUUAAACUUGUUUAAGUUAAUUAAAAUAAAUUUAAAUUCUGUAACCAAAAUGAGUUAACUUCUUUAACCUAAUAAAACAGCAUCAAUUGUUCAAUUAAAUCUUGCAUCACAGUAGGUUAUCACAUGUUGUAAAAUACUGUUGUAAAAUACUAAGGUUGGUAAUUAUUAUUAUUAUUAUUAUUAUUAUUAUUAUUAUAGGUCAUAAUAGGCCAGAUGAAAUGUAUCAUAACCGUCCGAAGUUUUGCUUAUUUACAAAUAACAUUUAAAUUUUAAAAUUUUCAUUAUUUUUCACUUAAACCUUCAAAAUUUUACAUUUCGAUCACUAUUGAGGAUUAUAUAUACUUUAACAAUUUAAAGUUUCUAAUAUUACUUAAAUGAUCAAAAAAUAAUGGAGGACACAGCCCGACAAUAUACAUACAUAGAAGGAUCUUUAAUUUCAACAUCAAAAUUCAGUCUUACAAUAUAGAGAUUAACUUUUAGCAUUUAAUUUUACAAAUUAUGUAUCAUAUUUAUGAUCAAUUUUAUCUACAAAUGAAAUAUUUGGCAUCAUUGCACGUACACACGUAUUUUUUAUUGUUCAUUAACUAAUUGUAAAAUUUUAAAGGUAAAAUCAUACAGAAUGUUCUUAUACGGUGGGCUAUUUUAAUUCAGCCCUCCAACCUUUUAAAAUUUUAAUUUUACUAUUCAACAUUUCAAAUUAAUCAAUUCGAGCUAGUUAAAGAUGUUUUUCACUUUAAAAUUUAGAUUAAUUACUAAUUUUUAUGAAUUCAUAGUUACAAAAAUUAUAUAAAAUAUAUAUACUCUAUAUAUAUAUAUAUAUAUAUAUAUAUAUAUAUAUAAGAAUAAUAAUUUUGAAAAACUGGAUGACUUUCACAGAUUUUAAAGUUCUAGUGCAUCUAACUCGGUGUAAUUAAUUAAUAUUAGUCGGAGAGAAUAAUAAUUACGCAGAUACGUACGUGCCUUCUCUCUGUCGCCCUCCCUGCCUAGAACGCUCGACUCGUCGAUAAGCGAGCUGCUGCGGCUGCCGCCGGCAGCCGGCGGGUCAGACCCCUGCCGGCCGCCUCUCCCCGUCUUCAUCUCUCAGGCUGAGCGCCAGACGGUGCUUCGUUAUCUCCUCGAUCUUCCUCUUGAUCUCCCUGAAUGACAAAGCGCAGGAGCGGUCGCAGACGAUGGACAACCCCGACGACACGUCUCCGUCGGCGAUCUUCCUCUUCUUCUGGAACGAGCUGGAAUCCGCCAUGCCGUCUACCCGCCUUCCUUCCACCCUCAACUGCAGCAGCCGGUACUGCCACUCGCCGACCGCGUCCUCGACGUCGCACGCGACGCCCUUCAGCUCCCGCAGCCACAGCUCGGCGGAGCUGCUGCGGACGUCGCUCUCCUCGGCGUCGUCGAGGACCGCCUGGAUCCGCUGCUGCAUCGCCCGCAGCAGCUGCUCCAUGUUCUCCUCCUCGGUUCUCUCGGCGGCGUCGCGACGCAGCCACGGGCGGUGGUGCGGUUCCGCCGACGGCCGCCACAGCGCCCGUCGCAGCACGGCCGCCAGCUUGCGCCCCGCCCAUCGGACCGACGAUGCGAGCGCCGCCGCCNUUGCAUUUCCACUUAGGGACUGUUUAGUAUAGGGAUUAGUUUAACUGUCCUUUUUUUUUUUUUGUUCUUCUUGUACUUCUUUCUUUCUUUUCUUUUUAACUCGUUCUACUGCUGCUUCUUCUUCUGAAUAAUUUUUUCUUCUGCUCUUUCUCUCUCUGCUACAAUUACCACCGACUGCUAGUUUUUUUUUUAUUUAUUUUUAUGUUUUAAAUGAUAAUGCAAUCUAGCUAGCUUUUGGGGUGAGUGAAAUUGAGAGUUCUGGAUUCGGUGGUUGCGUGGGCCAGCUACGUAAAACUGCUUCUUGCGCCUUUCUUCGAAACUUCCUUUAUUCUCUCCUCUUCUUUGGCUCUUUUUGAUCUUUCCUUUCGUUUUCUUUUUGUUCGUUUUGAUGUCCGCUUUUACAUUCUUGUCCGCUUUUGAUCUUGAUGUCCGCUUUUACAUUCUUAGUUGAUAUGUGAUGCUUUUGUUUUUCUUUUUGGUUUUCUUCUCUUUUUUUCUUUUCUUUUCUUUUUUGUUUUUCUUCUGUUUUUCUCUUGUAUCUUGAGUUUAUCUUUUUUCUUUUCCUCUUUCUUUCCUCUCGAGAUCCUGGAUGUCUCAAUCUGUAGCUUAGUUCACUCUCUAAUUGAAUGAAGCGGUAGCAUGCUACAUUUUCUUAAAAAAAAAAAAAAAAAAGAAUAAAGAAAAAUUUUAUUUUUAUCUCUACAAAGUUUAAUAUGCGACCAUAAAGAAUAAUUUUAUAUGUAUAGCUGAAAUUGGAAUAAUUUGAUAUGUACUUACGAUAUAGAGUUUUUAUAAAUGUAAAGUUUUUAUCAUAAAAUUUAUAAUUGGCUUCAUAAAAAUCAAGAGCUCAAAUAAAAAUUAUUGAGUUUAAAUAUUUUGGAUCUCUAGUUUGCGUCUAACAAGCUAUUCGCAUAGUGAGCUAGCUAGUUAAUUUAAUUACAUUUGGUAUCAAAAUGAAUUUGUCAGUUGAAAAUGCAAGACGAAUUUUACGUUGUUUGGUGAUCUUGAGUUAGGGAAUAACAAGAGAGUGUGAAAUGGGUCUAGUAUCAUUAAUGACUUAGUACGUAGUAGCAAUGUGAUACUUAGUAGCAAUACGAUACUUCUCAAAUUAUAGGUGACAAAAUAUAUAAAAAAUCCUCUUAAGCCAUAUGUCUGAGCUUUUAAUUACGGCAAUUAAACCCAGUAAAUUUUAAAUAGUUUAAUAGGUCUUUUUUUUUUCAAUUGAAAUUACUAAUAACAUGGUUGCUUAAUUAGUUACAUGUCUUAUAUACAAUCUCAUAAAGCUUCAAAACAUUGAGAAAGUUAUUUUUUUCUAUUCUAGUAUGUAAAGAAAAUAACAAAUAUAUAAUAUUGCUUCACUCUAUUAUUCAAUUCUCAUAAUUAAUUAUCAAAUUUGGAAGGGAAAAAAUAAAUUUUUUUAUAUUUUGAAGUCUAUAAGACUAUGCAUACGACAUGCAAUCGAAAUUGCAAUAUAGUCUUAAAUUAUAUAGAAUCAUAGUGUAAAAAAAAUAAUAAUAACAAUAAUACCAGGCGAAAGCUUAGAUUAGAUUUUUUUUUUAAGAGAAAAAUAGCAUGUUACCCGCUUCGUUUAUUUUGUUUAAAAAUAAAUUUAGCUGGAAAUGUGAAUUAACUAAGAUUUGAACUUGGAUCUCGGAUACCAACUACAAAACCGUUUUGCCACUUACGUUAGGGAAGGUCGGUGUCUUAGAUUAGAUUUACAAUAAUGCUAAAAUCUAGAAAGUCUUCGCCCUUUUUUCCCUGAUUCCCUCUAUUAAUGGGCGGCACAAAGGUGUGUUAGUGUGUUCACAUUCUUCUUUAUUUUGCACCCGACAGGGGCGGACCAGCCAAUGGAAAGUGUCACAACGGACGAUAGUUAAAAAGAAUCUUCAAGAGGAAAAAAAAAGCAAGAAAAUAAAAAAACAGAAAGAAAGAAAAGCUUCACUCUUCUUUGUGGAUGAUUCGAUCCCCUCUCAAAGUGGAAAUUUUUGCAUAAUUAACCCUGAAAAAUAAGGUGCUGUUCGCGCGAUAAAAUUUGCGCCAUGUGGUGAAUUAGGAUGCACCGUGAAAAACAGCUCCCAAGACCGGAAAUAAAUAACACGUGGUGCGUAAAAAAUAGAAAAGAACACACCCAAAAAUUAAAAAGUGGUUAAAAUCGAUGCAAUUAAGAUUAGCCGAGAGUAGUCCGCAGAAUUAGAGAUGUGGCCGAUUGUCACGCCCGGGUACCAGUGGAAGUAUAUCCGGUACGUGCACAGACCCGCUAUACACCUGCAGUAUAUAAGGCAUAUACAAGAAACAAGUCGAUAGGAGUAAAAACAUAAAAUAAUCCUAUCCUGAUAUCAGAGUAUAGUAAAAGUCAUAAAGACUAUCAACAAUAGAAUAAGGAGUAUAUAAUCCACAAACUCGACAAAACGUAAAGUAUCACAACUAUAAUGUCUGUCCAAAGAGUAAAUAUACAUCACGGGGUAUACAAAAAGAAUAGGUACAAUGGUGGUCUCUCUAUACAUAGGGACAUCACCCUCGGCCGUAGCCCGAGUUGCAAAGUGAUCGACUAGCAUGCUCCUAGCAAUAUCUAACUGGACGUGACUCCCUUGCCACGAUCCCUAGCCUCUCCUGUAGAUAGCUCUGUAAAAAUAACCACCAAAAAGGACGUGAGAAUUAUAAACAAUAGUUCUCAGUGGGUAAGUCGCCAGCCUCGGCGAAUUACACCAUUAGGCUCAUGAUGUACUAAAUGAAAGCAAAAACGAUAAUUGCAUGAUAUAUAAGCAUGAUGCUAACAAGUAAUGAGCAUGUAAUCAACAUGUAAUAGCUUUCUACAGUAAUGAAUCAUUUGCAUAAUAGAGAUAUAGCAACUUCUGUAAUCAUGAACAUAAACAUAAAUAUAAGCACGAAUGUGAAAGUAACUACUGUACACUUUAACUAGUAAGCAUUUCUUACUGUCCUUUGUCAUUAGUACUUUUUCCUCAAUAGAGUUUUCCUUUCAUUCAUCAGGACCUACCCAAGGUAGUCCGGCUUGCGCCGCGCCUAAUGGUCCCGUGGUAGUAUGCACUCCCCACGAUAAUCCACUUUGGCACCCAAUCCUGCACGGGCGAGCAACUGUCGCGUAGGCCAACUCCGGAGUGCCGGCUUGUAGGGAGCGACCCUCACAAGUGUGUGCGAAUGAGCACGAUGGCAAGCAAGUAUAUUCCACUGUCCACAUGUCUCAAUUAUUAUGUUUUCAUUUGCAAUGUUUUUACCCUCGAUCCUCUGAUCAGAAUUUCAAUACACAAAUAGUAAUAAGAACUAGUAUCCACUAGAUUGUAAACAUGUAAGAGUAAUGCUAAAUCACAUAGCAUUAUAAUCUUUCCACUCUUAUGGCACUAUCAACAUAGUCGUAAGCAUGUCAUAGUUCUCUACUUUAUAAGUGCAUCAUACACUUGUUCAUAAGUCAUUCUACAGUAUUAAACAUGAUCAUAAAUACUUUUAUGCAUGCAGUCUCUCUACUUCAUGCAUCUCUACUUCAUAGAGGUACAAUGUCAAACAUAUCAAACAUGGUGGCAAAGAUGUCCAAAUUCGUAUCAAUCACAUAGUCGCAAAAAGCGCACUACAAAACCCAUUCUAUAGUGACAUAUAGAAUAUAGGGGAGCUUCACUUACUCUGGUUAGGUCAAAUCCACCUAUCACUAAGCUCAAAACGGCCCAACAGAAGCUCCAAACUCAGCUCACACGGUCUCUGGACCUGCUGAAAACAAAGCAUCAAAACCGCGUCGAAACGAUUACUUAAUAAUCCAAUUUCAGCUCCAAUCACACAUAGUACAAAGUAAUAACUUAAUUCCCUACUUCGGGCUAGCUUAAUACCUCAAGUUGAGUCUUCAAGAGCUUUCACAAGUCAGCUGAAGUCACUCCAAGAGUCGAUCGCACUCUUGCUGCGAACAACAUCAAAACGGCGUUAGAAUGCUAGUAUACUAGCUAAAAUAGCCGAAUUCUUGUAAAAUUAGAUUUCUAGCAGAAAUUCCUGCUUACCCUGGGUUAGAACACCUUCUAAACCAGUCCGCAAUGUCACCAAUUAAGAUCAGUUUAAUUCAAAAACUUGCUGCGAACAGCGAUUCCAAAAUCAGCCACUAUUCGAGUAAUUAAGCCUCGAUUACGGAAAAAGGUUGAGUCGAUUACCUCUUCAAGCCUCUAACCAGUAAACUACUGGUUCAGGGCUGCGAAAAACUUUCCAAAAUACUCUCUCACAUAUCCGUGUAGGUUCAGCGACGCUCGCAACCAGCGGAAAACCAACGUUGCGACGAAAACGAGCGAAAUCGGCGAUUUCUUUGUAGAGAGAGAAAAACCCUAGAGAGAGAGAGAUGAAGGUGGAAGAACCAUCCCCUGAGCUCCAGCAACCCUUACUGAGCUCCUGCAGUCGUGCUGGACAUAAGGGAUAAGAACAGGAAGCAAAAAGACCAAAAGAACCCUGCUGCCACGCACCUGCUGCAGCUGCUGCUUGCUGUACCGGUACAGCAUAAUGCCUAUACUGGUACACAAUGCAAAAUUCGAAGAUAAUGCCACAGCAAUGCACUUUCUUGCUUUUGGCCAUCCAAUCAUUCUCUAACUUGUCCGAAAACUUGUCCAAGUCCUUUAGAACAUGUAGGAUAGUUCCACAACUCAUUCCACACACUCGAACUCCGCAAUUUGUAAAAGUUCAGUGUAUUACACCGAUAGUAGGGAAUAACUAAAUAAAUAACGGGUGGGACUAUAAAUAAACAGAAGACAUCUAUACAGAAGGGUCUUUUUCUCCAAGUAUAAGAAGAUCAAUUUAUUUUCUUGUAUUUUUCGCUUACUAGAUAGGAGUACUCUACUUGUAAUCUUUUUUUCUUCUGCAUUUUUUCUAGGAAUAGUUUUAAACUAGUUUCUCUUCAUAUCAGCCACCUUGUAUAGCGGCACCACCCUUUUUGUAAACAUUUUUCUUCUUUUUGCAAUAUAUAUCAGUAUCAUUCGGCUCUUCAGCCGAACCGAAUCCAUAGUGUAAUAUGUGAACUCGGCUGGUUUGAUAUUUCAUCAGCCUAAUUGUUUGAUUCAUUUGUGGGCGUAAUCUUCGAAGGUGGCAAUCGGAGCUGCUUUACUUCCUCGCACGUUUCCCAAAUAAGGACAUUUGACCGAGUUAACGGUCAAGAAAAUUGGCUCGUAACAAUUUUUGGCAUGUUCGGUGGGAUUUCUAGGUAAAUUACAUAAAAUCCUCCUAUCAAAAUCCGAUUUUUCACUUUCUCUUCCUGUCAUUUAAAAAUCUACACUUUGCCCCCUUGUAAAAUAAAAAAUAUUCACAGAGAGGGUACGGUGUGUAAAAUGACCAUUUUGCCCCUCGCCAUUUUCGUCUCCUCCAUCGUCUUCCUCAACUGCUGCCUCGUUCGACCGCGAUUCACACCUCGAUCGGCCGCAAUUUCUCUCCAUUUUCUUCUCCACCUGCUCCCCUUCUCCUCCUGCACCCUCGCCACCCCUCGAUUUCAGCGACAAUAAGGAGGAAAUCGAGGUGGGCGUUGAUAGGGAGGUAGGCAUGGGCAACGAGGGCGAAGGCGAGACGGCGGAGAAGGGCGAAGGGAUGUGGGCGAGGGUGAGGCAGUGGAGGACGGCGAGGCGGCGAGGCGAAGCAACAGGAAAGAGAGCGGAGGAGUAUUUUUGGCAUAAAAAAUUAUUUUGUAACGGAACCCUAACGGUAGGGAGUGAAGUGUACAUUUUUUAUUUUACAAGGAAGUAAAGUGUAGAUUUUUAAAUGACAGGGGGGAAAGUAAAAAAUCGGGUUUUGAUAGGAGGGUUUUCUGUAAUACACACACACACACACACACACACACACACACACACACACACACACACACAUUAAAUGAGGAUUCAUCAAUGGGUUUGAAACUCAAAUUUAAAACGCGAUUUCAGAACAUCUUUAAAAUUUUUAGUUAGAAUCUCAAGUUUGAAUAAGUUGUACGGGCCUAAUCUUAACACUGUGAACCCAAAGCCCAAAUCUAGGCGUUAUAAAAUAAAUCCAAAUUUUAGCCAUGUAAACUCAAUUCAAAAUCUUAGUUACUCCAUAUGGGCCUAAACUGAGCCUGCAACCACAUCUGUAAUUCAAACUACAUAAGCCUAAAUUCAGCCUAAGCUCAGACCCACAGCUAACCUGAAUCUUAACCUAAGAUAUUCCAGCCCACAUAGAGCCCGAAGCCCGAAUAUAGCUUAAAUCUAACUCAGGCUAAAUUUUAAUCCACACUAUAUGGGUUUGAAUUCAAACCAAACCUAAACUUGAGAAAUAUCGAUCAAGUUCAGCAAAAAAAAAUCUAAAUUUAAACCUAGCCCAAUUUUAUCUCCGAAUGGGCCCAAGUUCAUGUCAAAGACCAAAUAUAAAUCCAACCCGAUUAUUUAAUCCGGAUUGACCCAAGCUGAACCCAGUCCAUAAUUCCAAUCCAAAUUUGGCAGGCCUUAUAUGAACCCUACACCAUAAAAACCAAAUCAAAGCCCAAACCUAACCUCAAACCCAAAACAAAUCAAAAUUCCAGUUUAACCCAAUUCAAAUCAUGCACAACCUAAUCCAACCUCGUCUCCAUACCAAGUCCUUAAAAAUUCUCUAGCAUAUAAAACUAGAGUCAAAUCACAACCAUAUUCAAACUCGAUCAAACUCUAAAUAUAUGUUUAGAAUUGAUCAAACCGUCUUUUUAUCUUAGUACAUGCGACUAAGGUGAAAAUAAUAAAUUAGGUUUUACUAAUCAAAUUAAAUCGAUUGGACUCUAAUACAUAUACUUAGAGUUCAAACAAAAGAAACCAAGUUAGACUCUAAUAUGUAUAAUUAGAGUUUAAUUUAAAUUAAUUUUGACUAAUCCUAAUACAUAUAUUUAGUAUUUAGCCAUCCUUCACCUUAGAGUGAACUCAAAUAUGGUUUGACUCUAAUAUACAUACUUAGAGUUCAAUUAAAUUAAUUAGACUCUAAUAUGUAUAAUUAGAGUUAAUCUAAAUCAAAUCGGCUAAUUCUAAUACAUGUAGAUUUAGCCCUCCUUCACCUUAUGGUGAACUCAAAUCUGAUUGGACUCUGAUACAUACAAUUAGAGUUUAAUCGAUUCAAACCCAACUAAAUCCUAAUACAUGCAACUAGGAUUUAGUUAAAUCUAAUUGGAUUAACCCCUAAAAAUAUAGGUGUAAUUCAAAUUAAGUUCAAUCGACCGUCAUGUCGUUGAACUAAUCAUUUUCUCUUUUAUAUUAUAUUAUAUUCAUGUACAUUGAGGGUAUGUCCCUGGUUAAACUAUGUAAUUGUACAGUGAAUUAUGUUUAAUUUCAGUCUAUUUCGGCAUUACAGAGGUCCCUUAAUCGAAGGUGCCCUAACAUUUUAUAGGGGUAAUUAACAAUAGACGCUUGCGUUUAUUGGAAGCCAUGAAUCCACAAUACUUGAUAACCAUAUAUACUUAAAUAUUAAUCUGAAUCAUGAAUACUACUCCACGGGAAAUCAAAAUAAGAUUAACCGCGCAAGGUGUGUCAUUCAUGGUCGAAGACAUGGUAUCAUUCGUGGAAUCACAGAACAAACGAAUGCACGGCCUUUAAAAGGAAAAUUCAAAAAGAGAUAAAUAAAGGUCAGCUAAUAUUUGCCAACCAAGAAAAUAAAAUAAUAUGAAAAUUGAUCAGAACCCAUUUCCUUCACAGGUCAACAUGUUAUACAUUAAAGGGAAAGCAUUAGUUGAAGGAAAGAUCAAGCAGGACAUUGCCAGUACCAAAAGAGCACUUCAGCUAUGCAUACGAUGUAAGGCCGAAAUUACACAUCGCGACUGGGAAGUGAUCAUUCAGGAGAGAAAACUAUACCGGGAAUGGAAGGAGUUCAUGACUUUCCCUGUUCUGACAAGGUACUGGAAGGAGGGCCGUGGCUUAUAUUGAGAAACAAGGAGAAAAUUCGAUGACUGUCCGGAGGAUGCUUCAAACGAUUCCGAGGAAGAGGUAGAGUCUAAAAAAGGCAAGAAGGAUCUUUCGAUCCAAAAAAUCUUAAAUGAUUAUUACCAUCAAACAAGAGAAAGAAUAAGUCGAAGGGGUUAUUUAGAAAAUCCUUUCGGUAUCCAGUAGAGUCAUCUGGGAUAUCGGCCUUCUUGGCAUUAUUAGCCUAAGCCGAAACCCAAACUAGAGUUUGAAAGAAUGACCGAGAGUGAUAUAGAAUUCUUCGGUCAAAAAUUGGUCAAUGAACUCGGCAUCCAGCGAUGGCCAACGCCCUGUAAGAUAAGAGAAAUCCUAAGGGAGCACCUCAGGAUAGUUAAAGUAUUAGCCAAUAUGUCAGUUAAUCAAUGGCACAUGGCAAUAACACCAGCCAAAUGGCAUGAGCAGAUGCUAAUGAAAACACAGAAGCGACGANUUGGCUAAUUCUAAUACAUGUAGAUUUAGCCCUCCUUCACCUUAUGGUGAACUCAAAUCUGAUUGGACCCUGAUACAUACAAUUAGAGUUUAAUCGAUUCGAACCCAACUAAAUCCUAAUACAUGCAACUAGGAUUUAGUUAAAUCUAAUUGGAUUAACCCCUAAAAAUAUAGGUGUAAUUCAAAUUAAGUUCAAUCAACCGUCGUGUCGUUGAACUAAUCAUUUUCUCUUUUAUAUUAUAUUAUAUUCAUGUACACUGAGGGUAUGUCCCUGGUUAAACUAUGUAAUUGUACAGUGAAUUAUGUUUAAUUUCAGUCUAUUUCGGCAUUACAGAGGUCUCUUAAUCGAAGGUGCCCUAACAUUUUAUAGGGGUAAUUAACAAUAGACGCUUGCGUUUAUUGGAAGCCAUGAAUCCACAAUACUUGAUAACCAUAUAUACUUAAAUAUUAAUCUGAAUCAUGAAUACUACUCCACGGGAAAUCAAAAUAAGAUUAACCGCGCGAGGUGUGUCAUUCGUGGCAGAAGACAUGGUAUCAUUCGUGGAAUCACAGAACAAACGAAUGCACGGCCUUUAAAAGGCAAAUUCAAAAAGAGAUAAAUGAAGGUCGGCUAAUACUUGCAAACCAAGAAAAUAAAAUAAUAUGAAAAUUGAUCAGAACCCAUUUCCUUCACAGAUCAACAUGCUAUACAUUAAAGGGAAGGCAUCAGUUGAAGGAAAGAUCAAGCAGGACAUUGCCAGUACCAAAAGAGCACUUCAGCUAUGCAUACGAUGUAAGGCCGAAAUUACACAUCGCGACUGGGAAGUGAUCAUUCAGGAGAGAAAACUAUACCGGGAAUGGAAGGAGUUCAUGACUUUCCCCGAAGAUGAGAAGAAUUGAUUGAGAAAUAAGGAGAAAAUUCGAUGACUGUCCGGAGGAUGCUUCAAACGAUUCCGAGGAAGUGGUAGAGUCUAAAAAAGGCAAGAAGGAUCUUUUGAUCCAAAAAAUCUUAAAUGAUUAUUACCAUCAAACAAGAGAAAGAAUAAGUCAAAGGGGUUAUUUAGAAAAUCCUUUCGGUAUCCAGUACAGUCAUCUGGGAUAUCGGCCUUCUUGACAUUACCGGCCUAAGCCGAGACCCAAACUAGAGUUUGAAAGAAUGACCGAGAGUGAUAUAGAAUUCUUCGGUCAAAAAUUGGUCAAUGAACUCGACAUCCAGCCAUGGCCAACACCCUGUAAGAUAAGAGAAAUCCUAAGGGAGCACCUCAGGAUAGUUAAAGUAUUAGCCAAUAUGUCAGUUGAUCAAUGGCACAUGGCAAUAACACCAGCCAAAUGGCAUGAGCCGAUGCUAACGAAAACAUAGAAGUGACGACAGCAAAGAAUGCAAGCAGAAGCAAGAAAUCACUGGGAGCAAACAAAAAGAAUGAGGUCGAAUGUAUGGAAGCGGCUUGAACCACAACUGCCCUAUCGAUCUAUUAAAAAUGACCAUAAUGAGAGACUCAAAUUUCGUACUAUGGUUGAUAUCUAAAAUUGAGCAGUCAGCUCCAGUAGUGCCGACAAAAAAAAGUUACAUGAAGAGCGUUGGAGGAGAAAAUUGCCUCUCUAGAAACGAUUUAAGUAAGAUAGAUGGCUUCCUAAGGAGAAGGAAGUUCGGCCAGAAAGUGACUCUUUGGCCGAAGUAGCUAGGGAAUCGGAGGAAAGUAAACAAAAGGUUCAUGAGAUAUCAGCCGAAGAAAGCUCAGUUGACGUGAGUAUCUCUUUGGCCGAAGUAGCUAGGGAAUCGGAGGAAAGUAAACAAAAGGUUCAUGAGAUAUCAGCCGAAGAAAGCUCAGUUGACGUGAGUAUAGUAUAUGCUGUGCCACACUCAUUUAGAGUAGAGUCUACGGAGUUCAAGGAACAACUUCAUUAUGGAGAGGAAUCAACAGUAGCUCAGCUCCAACUCAAAAAUACCAUAGCGGCCGAUGCAGUGAUAUUCGAAAAGCCAUCGGCUCUACAGACUAGAUUUGUUAGAUAUUUAUUUAGUAAGGCAUUAAUAGAAGAACGACUUGUAGCCCGAGUCAUGAUAGAUGGUGAGGCCAUGGUCAAUGCCAUGCCUACAUCAUUUUUUAAGAAAUUAGACAAGAGUGAUGAAUAAGAGCUGAAACCUACUAAUACAACUAUGACCGACUUUACUGGAAACGGUCAAUAAGUCAGAGGUGUACUCACAACCGAGCUUACGGUUGGGUCUAAAACCCUCCAAAGAGCUUUUUUCUGUAGUGGAUGUGGAUAGCCAUUACAAUCAGUUACUCAAACAUGAUUGGAUCCACGCGAAAGAGUGUGUACCGUCUACCUUGCAUGGAAAGCUAUUUCAGUGGGUUGGAGAUUGUGUCGAGGAGAUCAAGGCCGAUAGAAGGCCACAGAUGGUGGAUGUUAAUAUGGAAGACGUCGGCCAUAUCAACUGGGUCGACACUGACCUGGAUCAAAUUUUAUUUGUUCGGAUUACUGAAGAAAGGGUACAACUGGUGCUCGUAAAGGCAUUGGUGGCUACCGGAGAGUCACCGGACUGGUUAAAAGAAUGUCAAGGAUUGGGAGCCGAGGUUCUAGAUGACCUUCGGCAUAACGAGCCGAUUGAAGAAGUCGGGUACUCCAUUAAAUCGGCCGACUUAGCCAAUGAAAAAUCAAGUGUUAAAAUUCCAAUUUUAGUAGUCGAUUUAAGAAAAAAUGAUUCGGCUCAAAAAAUGGAGACUGUAAUAGUGCAUUGUGAUAUCCCUGGAGUUCUGUGGUGAAGGCUUGUCGACAAUUCUGGAGAGUGUCGGGACAAGUCCGAGUCGAGUUGGCGCGAAAUGGAAGCCAAACGGAUUCAGCGGGGACGCGAGAGCAGGACUUAGCAUUUGAAAUCUACAAAUAGCAGAUUUUCUGCUUGUUGUACCGGUACAAUCAUCAAGGCGUACCGGUACACUUUCUGUACCGGUACAACCAGCGAUGUGUACCGGUUCACUUUGCCAGAGUUGGCGCAACUGCUCUCGGGUUGCCAUCGUACCGGUACAGCAUCCCGUGUACCGGUACACCAGGGUAGGUAAGGGGCAUUUUGGGAAUUUUCUUAUUUUGAGCAUGCCACCGCCUCUCCCUCAGUCUAUAUACGUGGGUAGAGCUGAGGGAGAGGGUUUUUACUGACCCUCUCUUCCCUCUCUCUCUCUAGCUUGCGACGAUGUGUGGCGAGCUCUCGGGUUGAGUUGGUCGUCGUCGACGUCGCACCGCGGUGCCGUUCGAGCGGGUUUUCGCCAUCGUAGCGCUGCGCGGAGGCCGGGCGAGGGUGCGAUUCCGCCGUUUUCGACUUCGUGCCGAUGUUGGAUUAGCGUUUGAGGUAGGUUAAUCGUCGGUUUAUCUUCUAAGUAUAUAUAUUGUCGACUUGUGUUGUUAUGUUGUUUCGUUGAUAGAAAUUGCUCAAUUCUUAGAUUUUGGUAUGUUUAUCUAUAGAAUCUGAAUUGGAGCUGAAUAAUGUGAUUAUAUAUUGACACAAGUUGAACUUGGAUUUGACUUAGGAGAAAACCAGCGUUUUGAACCUGCCAUAUGCCUAAACUACCAGAUUUACCUCUAGGAGCCGUUGUUACUUUGAAUCGUCGCAGUUUCAGGGCGAUGGAUACCUCAGGUAGUUUAGAGUGCAGUUACGCUCGUGCUGAGAUGCCGAGCUUAUUUUUACAGUAGUGUUCAGACUGUUCCAGACUGUUGGGUGCCGUUGGAUCUGACGGUGGAACUGGAUUAGUGUUAUAGCAUGAGAUUGUGCCGAGGGCACGUGUGUUUUGGUUGUUAGACCAGUUCGACCCGGUUACUUGACUUUAGCCUGUGAGAGCCUGCUUGAGCUCGACAGAGACACGCAUGCAUACUCGGUUGGGUCGCGCCCACGAGUGCCACUCCGGAGUUAAGCCUAGUGCUUUUGCGUUGAUGUCGAGGUGUCCUGUUUGGACUUGCUAUCCACGGACUGGUUAGUGUGGAGAUAGCUUCAGCUUCGACAGGCGGGACGGGUGUGUUCACAGUCCCUCGGACGGGUAUGCUUACAGUCCCUAGCGAGAUUUGGGUCAGGAUUGAUAGUUUCUACAGAUGGUUGGUAUUAGAGCAUGAUAGCAUGUUAGUUCUUAGCUGUAGAUUUAUUCCACCCUUAUUUUCUAUCUUAACUCCCUUCUGUAAACUUAGUGGGUGGACCGAUGAUUGUGAGGGCGGCACCCACUGAGGACUACUUGUUUUUAUAGUAGUUCUCACGCCUAGUUGCUACCCUUCUUUUGCAGGGCCUUCAAUUCCGACUGCUGCUACUGUUGAGACCGAUCGUGGCAAGGGCGUUGUGAGAAGAACCCUACCAGACGAGUCGCCGAGAUAAAGGAUUUCCGGCUAUAGGUAGUUGUAUUUUCAUUUCUGAGUUCAUGUACAUACAGUGUAUAACUCGCGAGGCGAGUUCUUUUUAUUCUUAACGUUAUGUAUGUAUAUGGAACUUAUUUUCUGUUUACCUGUUCAUAGUUAUAGCUCUAUACUACUGGUUGUAGUAUUGUUUGUUCAUAGGUCUAGCUAUCGCUUCGUAUACAGGGGAAAGUCCUUUGUAUACAGCGGAUUUGUCGGCGUGCCCGGGGAACGUGUAAUCCGGGGCGUGACAUGCAUGAUGAUAACCGCACUAAAAUUCAUGAAGGAAUCAAGACAGAGUGCAUGGAAAAAUCGCCAAUCAAAGUCGAUGAGAAAAGACUGAAAACUCAGGAUCCACUAGCGGAAGUCAACCUAGGGUCGAAUAACGACAAACGACCAACAUUUAUUAGCGUGAAACUCUCGGCACUACAACAGGAGGAGUUAACAGGGUUGUUGAUAAAGUAUAAAGACUGUUUCGCUUGAAGUUAUAAGGAAAUAUCUAGAUUGAGACGAAAAAUUGUAAAACAUAGGCUUCCUAUAAACAAGGGGUAUAAGUCUUACAAAUAGUUGGUUUUUAGGUUUGAGCCGAGUAUUAUAUUGCAAAUCAAAAAUAAAAUUAAAAAUCUUUUAAGAGCCAAAUUUAUUAGAGCGACUCGUUAUAUUGAUUAGGUGUCUAAUAUAGUACCAGUGCGAAGAAAGAAUGACAAACAUAGAGUUUGCAUGGAUUUUGAAAUUUAAAUUUGGCAACACCCAAAGACAAAUACCCGGUGCUCAUAACUGACAUGCUAGUAGACUCGACAGCCAUACCUGAAAUUUUGUCCUUUAUGGAUGGUUAUGCUGGUUAUAAUCAGAUUUUUAUUGUCGAAGAAGAUGUAGCGAAAAUAGCUUUUAGGUGCCCAGGGUCCAUUGAGACUUUCAAAUGGAUAGUAAUACCUUUCGGCUUGAAAAAUAUCGAAGCCACUUAUAAAAGGGUAAUGAAUUUUAUUUUUCAUAAUUUUAUCGGUAAAAUACUGGAAGUUUACAUCAAGGAUAUCAUUGUAAAAUCCAAAUCACAAACUGAUCAUUGGGUUGAUUUAGAGCUCGCUUUCGAACGUAUGAGAAAAUACAAUUUAAAAAUAAAUCCUUUGAAAUGUGCUUUUGAGGUAUGAGUGGAAAAUUUUCUCGAAUUUCUAGUACAUUAGAAAAGGAUCGAAAUAGAUAAAAACAAAGCAAAGACGAUUGUGAAAUUGCCACCAUCUAAGAAUAAAAAAAAAUUGUAGAGCCUACUAGGAAAGAUAUAUAAAUUAUUUAUGGCGCUUCAUAUCGAAUUUAGCUGGCUGAAUUGGAGUAUUCACUCUAUUAUUUCGGCUCAAAAAUCAAGAGUAGUUUAUCUAGACAAGAGAACAACAAGAAGUAUUUAAAAAUAUUAAAAAAUAUUUAGUGAAUCCUCUUGUUCUCACUCCUCCACAAGGUCAACCGAUGAAGUUAUAUGUAUAUAACGCCCCAAUAGUCCCACAUCAGGUAGGAAAUUGAUUCUGAUUGGAAUAUAUGAGGCGUACACGGUAGUAAUAAUAACCAAGCUUAAACAUUUUGGGCCGGUGGUUUCGGCCUAAUGAGUUAUUGUUGCUAGCGGGUUGGGUCGUUAUAACUGGUAUCAGAGCCGAAUACUAGUUGGAAAUGUAAGAGCUAAGUGUUAUAUGGGGCAAAGUACUACACCAACAGGUUUGGGGGCCACAUCUUGAAUCCGUGGGAGCUACCUCUAAAAUCUCAGAUUGCCUGAAAAUUCUGCUCUGCAUUUGUGAUCUGGUUUGGAUCCGAUGAGGAUGUCAAGAUCUAAAUAGAGGGUGUUUGUAACGCCCCAAUAGUCCCACACGAGUGGAAAACUGAUUCUGAUUAAAAUAUAUGAGACCUACACGCUAGUAAUAAUUAAUAAUUGAGUUUAAGCACUUUGAGCCGGUGGUUUGGGCCCAACGAGUUAUUAUUAUUAGUAGGUUGGGUCGUUACAAUAUAUCGAUUGCAGAAGAGAAUUUGGGAUGUCUAUUGGCCUAGAAAAACAUCUAAAAGAGUAGGCUAUUUAUUAUCUCAGAUGACGCUUGUUAGACGUCGAACGACGUUAUUCGACAAUGGAAAAAUUGUGUUUAGCAUUAUAUAACGCAUGAGGGUUCAAGGAAGACUAGUUGAAUUAUAUUGAGACACUUUGACUCAUUGUCGACAGGUUGUGUCACUUUAGCACGAGCAAUCACGAGUAUAAUGUCAUAAUGUGCACAGUAGAGGUUAGUAUGGAUCUUUGAGGGAUUAGAGAUGCUGAACCUAAUGUAAUCUAAUGGUCUAGGACAUCACGAGUCUAAUAUUCUCUUUUUGAGGGUUGAUGUCUAUAUGCUGGUUGUAUGCGAUUUUUAAUAUAAAGCUCCCAAAAUAUAGGUUGACUCGGCGGUCGUACUGUUCAUUUUCCCGUAUGAAUGGAAUCGAUAGUGGUGUAAUGUUGAGAAAGUUGUUAUGAUGGCAUUAAUCCCGUCAUGUGCGAGUGGGAGAUGUUAGCAUUCGGUUAAACUGAAUCGAGUGCGCCUAUGAUCGGGCUUGAUCUGACGGUUAUUAUGUUGUCUAAUUAGAUUAGGAUUAAUCUCGUUUUUAAAUUGAAAAGCUAAUUAGAGAUAUGUUCUAACUAUAUUAGGAUAACAAUUAUAAACAAAUUCAGUCUAAUCUCUUACUUAUAUAUAUAUAUUAAGGUUUUGGGAUCCCUUAUAUAUAUACGUGGUUAUUCUCUCAUAAAAAUAAUAAGAAAAAAUAGAGACAGAAUACUCAAAAAUUCGUGAGUAAUUCGGGAGCCGUCAUGUGUGAGCGAGAAGCCACAUCCUACAUUAACCUAUUGUUCUAAAAAGUCUUGAACGAUGGAUUCGAGAUUAUUGCUCGUUUGUAGUUCGAUCUACCGCGGGUUUGGAGUGUUAGAAGACCUUCGUGAACGAUCCGAGAAUGCGUGAAUCAACCUCUACGAUCCAAACUCAUCGCGUUUUAGCACGAGUCACUUCCACAAAAAGUAUGAACGAAUACUUAUGUUGCGUUCUACAAAGAUUAACGGCAUGUUUGUCUAGACUAAAGUUUGGCAUGAAACUCGCAAGUUUGUAAUAACUCGAGAUCAUUGGCAUUUGGAGGUAACGUCAACCUCCACCUUCUGUGACGCCCACACGGCCCCCGCACACGUGAAACAGUCUCACGAGACAACGAGUUGGCAUACUGCACGAACUCGCGACUUUGCACAUAUAUGAUGUAACAUCGAUUGCCAACUUCCGUGGGGCCCACACAGCCUGCACGCGUGAAGCAGUCUCACAGGGCGGCGAGUUUGCAUACUGCAUGAACUCACGACUUCACACUCGUCACGUGAUAAGCUAGCCUGAGUUCCACCUACAAAUAGUAACUCGCCAUACGAACAGAACUCGCCAUCUUACACAAUGUUCAAAUCACAAAACACAAGAUUUUACACAUGGCGUGUGGCACAGAUGCAGCUACACAGUACAGAAAACAACUGACCAGCCACAUUCAAUAUCUCAAACUUCUCGGAAGAAAAUGUCGGGCCGAGGAUCGCAGAUACUUCCACAAGGAUUUCUCGUAGCGAGCAUAAAACAUUGUAACUUUAAGAACGAAAAAAAAAGAGAGCAAAAACAAAGCUCGAUAACUGCCAUUUUUACAUUAUUUACUUCAGCUUGUGUUCAAAACUGUAAUGCAACAAGAUGAGAACAUAUGUACAGCAGGUAGAGAGUCACUUCUUCGCAAUUUUCUCGAACAAACAUCAGGAAACAAAACAACCAAGGGAACAUAUUGUUGUCUGCCAUGUACACUUUGAAGGAUGUUCAACAAAUGGAGGGAAGAAAAGAAAAGAUAGCCGGAAUGCAAAAAACAUUCAACUCAGCAUCGCAGACUACAAACCGGGAACUUAAUUGCCUCCUAAACACAGGAGGUGCAAUCGGAGGAGGCAUUCUUUUAGGCAGUCAUGCUGUCUUGCAUUUCCUCCUCCGAUUUCCAGACGACGUCUUUGAGCUGGACGGAGAGACUUCUGUAGAACUGCAAACAGAUGAAACAAAGUUAAAGAUAUAAAGGAAUUCGACUGUUAGAGCACAAUCAGUAAAGAAACAGAUGCGUGCGUGUAUUGGUAUAUCUAAUAAAAGAAUAAAGGUAAAAACAUGCGGAACUAGCAUGAACUACGGUUUGCUGGAGACGACAGCGCAACCUUCAAAAAAUCAUGACUUCGCAGUAUAACCUUUCAAAUUAUUUUAUCUGCAUCCUGAGAACUUACUGCCUGCAGCCAGUGCAUCCGCCAUUACCGCACCCCCAUCUGCCCUUGAUUCUUCUGAUACUUUUACUGCAACCAUCCAAUCCUUAGUACGGAAAAGCGCAACUCAUCUCGUGGUGCUGAUUGACAAAUGCACUGGCCGCAGGCAAAAAUUCCUCAAGAGCCAUCAAAUGUCUCAAAUCAAAUGAAUCGAUAGGAUAGAUAGUAAAAUUAAAAUCUUUCCAAACAACCAAAAGUAUUGUGUGCUUCAAAAGAAUAUCUGCGAAUAGCAGAUAUUGUGUAUGUUUUUUAUAUGCAUAAAUAGAACAUUUCAAGUUAAGCAAGAUUGGUAUGUUACUUUAAAUGCACAGAUUUUAAAGGAGUGCGCAGUUAUCUAAAUACUACCUUCUGAAACUCCAGAGUAUCUCCUUUAGAUUUUUUGAGCUCAACCAUAUGAACAGAUGGGGCCAUUUGAAAUAUCUGAAAUUUGACAGAGAAAGUGAGUACUAUAUUACGACAAAUCAGGCUCAAAGUUAACUAAUCAAUAUAACUUUUCAUCGGACCUCAGUAGCGACAUUCAAAUUUCCCUUUCGCCCUGCUUUCAUGGUUUCCAGCUUCAUCUGGAAAAAGAAGAACAAUUGGUUACCAAAAGUCACGAAGCAAAAGCAUUGAAGUUAUCCUGUCUUUAUUCAUUACAUUAAGGUUUGAAACUUGCGAGGUAAAACUGAAUCGAGUAGUGUUCGACCUCCCGUUGCUUACCUUAUAAUUUUUCUUUUGAAUAUCGAACCCGAGAGGCUUUGCAGCUUCUUCAAUCUUAGUGACGAUUUCCUUCGCAGAACACUUUGAUGUAAACCUUUUUUCUCUUUUGAAUUCCUAUUACAGAAGGGAAGCUAGUAAGACAUUGCUUUAUCGGCCAAAACUAAUAAGAACAAAAAGAAAAAAACAAGGAGAUGAAUUGAACAAACUAAAGAGUAAGCAUUUAUAUGGAAGAGAACAUUUUGAUGACAAAUUACAAUCACGAAUAGAGUUCGAUUAUAUACAAGAGUAUAGUCAUUUGUUUUGUCCCCAACUAAUUAUUGACGAAAAGAGGUUCAAACCUUCUCAAUGUCGAACAAGUUCUCAAGAUUUAGUCCCUUCGAUAAUGAAAUCAACUCAAAUGCAUUCAUAGACGCAGGUUGUUCUUCUAUUUUCUCUUUGACAUGCUGAUCCUGUUGAAGACAUUACAAUGUAUCUAGUUUUUCAAUAAGAUUACUUAAAAAGUACAUGAUAGAAAGGAAAUUUUAGAGGGGAAAUAGAGAGGGAAUAAAAAACUAUAAAUGUCGCAUUGUCCAUUUUAUACUCACUUCUGAGUCCCCAAAUGCAGCAUCGAUGUCAUCCAAAUUCGCCUCACAUUUCUCCUCAAACACAGGUGGUUUAUAUCCUUUUCUAAACCAUUCAUCGACUAGUAUUUCUGGGAUAGUAAUUCGCUGGUGUUGAAGAAACAGAAAUAUCAGUAAUAGGAGAGCAGUUAAUUUCCAAGUACUAAAUACAUGAUCUUUUCCGAGGGAGAGAGAUGUAACUUUAAGGCAUAUAUUAUAAGGUUAUAACCAUAAAAAAUACAAGGAGAUUUUACAAAUAUAUCAUACAUGCCCCUUUAGUAUCUGAAUUUUCAUAUAUCCCCUUGAAAUUGCAGUGUUCUACAAAAAGAACCUUAAGUUGGUGGGUCGACCAUCUCAUGCGGGGGGCAGUUGAAUUUAUACAAGCCGAAAAUUUUAUAAAGAGCAACAUUUUUGUAAGUAUGAGGGUGUAUAUGUAAGAAGCGAAGUUUCCGAAGGUUUGCAGUGAUAUAUAUGUAAAUAGAUAGUUUUGCAGGGGAUAUAUGUAACUAUAUCAAACGACGAUCAGAGGACGGAAAGAGCUAGGAUUCAGUAAUUGCUGAAAAAUACACUUACAGUCACAGGGUUAGGGUCCAAUAUCUUUGCAAUUAAUUUCAUGGCACCGAAGGAAAGCCAGGAAGGGCACGUAUACUCAGCUGAAGAAAUCUGCAAGGGUGUCGGAUCGUUUUACAUAAAGAUGACAACCAGCAUAAACAAGAAAAGAAAACUUUAAUCAUGCUUACCUUUUUAUAUAGGUUCAUAAGAUUAUUGUCCUCGAAAGGUAAGUACCCUGCGAGCAUUACAAAUAGUAUAACCCCGCACGACCACAAAUCCGCAGCGGCACCAUGAUAGCCUCCAUCUUCGAGGACCUAAUAAAGAAAUCAAUUAGACAUCUAAAUUAGAUGUUUACUCAUUUCAUAAAGAAUACAAAUGUAUGAUUUCAAAAAUGAUGAACUUCAACAAGCAACGGUACCUCAGGAGCCACGUAGUUCGGAGUUCCACAAGAAGUGUGCAGUAAGCCAUCACCCUAGGGGUAACAAAACAAAUUUUGAAAUCAAAUUUUAGUUUUGGAACAUUAAAAAAAAAAAAAAAAAACACACUACUGAUCGGGGAGUCUUAAAAUAGAUAACACCAAAAUGAAUACCAGAUUGUCAAAAAUGAUGGGUACAGUAGUUUAGACUAACACAGAUUCCAGAUUGAAAAUUCAAUGUAUAUUAGACUUGUAAAAUUACCCUGAUUUGCUGAGACAGUGCACUUAGCCCAAAGUCGGAAACUUUGAGGUUGCCAUAUGCAUCAAGUAGUAAAUUCUCAAGCUGCAGAGAUGCGAAAAAAAGAAUAAACAAGUUCAAUUUCCCUUUUUAAGCAGCAACAAUAUCGAAGGCACAUUGUAUACAUCAUAUUUGAAAGGUAAUGAACUUGUCCGUUCUUUUACCUUUAAGUCUCGGUGAUACACGCCCCUACUGUGACAGUAAUCGACAGCGUUAAUUAACUGCUGAAAGUAUCUUCGAGCUUCGUCCUCCCUCAUCCGCCCAUAAUUAGCCUUCACAUAAUCAAAGAAGAAAGAUGUUAAAAAGUGCAUUACAAUCUAGGAUUGAGUGCAUUACGAGUCUCAUUUCAAAUCUCUACAGCUUACAAUUAUGUCGAAGAGCUCUCCGCCAGUAACAAGCUCCAAAACAAUGAAAAUCUUCGACUUACUGCCCAUCACCUAACAAAUAUAAAACAUGCAAUCUUAUAAUCACUGGAAAUAUUCAAGUUUCACAGAUAAGAUUUUCAAAGCUUAUUUCUGCAUUAGAACUAAAAAUUGAAGUGAAUAGAAAGAUGCGACAAGUCUUACACUCCUAUCCAACAAGUCGCAAUGAAAACCACAAGGCCAAUUUAUUGAACUUUUAAAUUUUGUUUGUGCCAGCUGCACUUCAUAAGUAUUUGAAUAAUCAAUCAUUACCUCCCUCAAAAAUUGGAAAACUAUGUGCAAUGUGAGCUUAAACAUGCAAAAGAAAAACUAACUUCUAGGAAUAGAUUACUACAGAACGAAAAAUCGACCUUUAGGAAUCGAUCUACUACAGAACAAGUCUCAAAAAGUAGAGAAAAGGAAUGAGCGCUAGAUGAAUGAUUGCCAAAUAGAGUGGUCUCUUUAGUAUUCAGAGGAGAUAACAAAUUACUUAAGCAAUUGUCUCUCAAAUCUAAUUUCCGAAAGAAAAUUCCUCGGGAAAAAAAAAGAAGAAGAAAAUCUCAGCAAGCAAGGAUAUAAUCAGAACCACCUGGAGAGAGUAAUUUGGCCAAAUUUCACAAAUAGAAAGGAAAUAAAUAAAUAAAAAUAAAUCUCUGAUGUCUAAUUACACGAUAGAAACAUCACUCGGCUUGAACAUAUUUGCCAAAGUUUCUCUUAUGAAAAUAAAACCAACGGGUAGGUUCGAAACCUUCCGCUAUUGCAGUUCAAAUACAUGCAACAAUAAAGCAACGAGGACAUGCGGCGGUAAACAUUAGAUUUUUCCAACUGAAGUAUGAAACAACUAAUAUCAGAUAUAUAGAAAAGUUAUGACAAGUUACCUCAUGCAGUCCAACAACAUUAGGAUGCUUAAUUAACUUCAUUAUGGAAAUUUCCCGCUUAAUCUGCACAGAAUUUCAAAAGCUACUUAAGCAUAAUGAGAGUGGAAGAUGUUAUAGAAAUGGUAUUUUGAGAUGUGAUAAAGAGAAGUGUUUCAUUUAAAGGCAAAUAAGUGCGUAACCUAUAUAAGAACAGAAUAAAACCAAUCUAAACGUGAUAAGAUUAUAUCAAAUAAAAUGGCUUUUUCUUGGGGAUUAACAAAAUGGAUUUUAAAAUAGAAAUAGGUGGAUGAGGCACUCGCAAGUGUGGAAUCACAGAGUUAAUUUACACAGCCUUACAACAGCAUGCUGCAACUGAAAAUUUUAUUUUUGUUACAUAAUUCGUACGAAACAUGAGAAGCUGCAGGGCUAGUGCUUCACAAUUUUUAUAAAGCAUUUUUGUUCAAUUUGGACAUCAUUCUUGGAUAUUUUGGAACGAUGACUGUCAUCUAUACAUAUUAGAAGUAAUAUGAAGCAUAACUAGGUUCAUAAAUGAAUAGUUGUCGUCUCUGAACCACUAAAAUGGAAAUUAUAUUAAAACACCAUCACGUGGCUUCGAGUUUAGCAGUUCGUUAAAUAAAGAGAGGAUUUGUUUAUCGGAGGAUAAGUGUUGCAUUUUGUUUUUUUCCCUUAACUUUGAGUUUUGAAUGAAAUCUCGAGAUGCAAAAUAUUGUAGUACAAAUAAAAAACUCUGUUGCGGUAUGCGUUUUGAAUUGUUCAGAAAAAACAAAGAGUUUUAAAGUAAAAGGGCACGAUGUGACAUUGGUGCAAGGAAAAAAAAAAGCCAAUGAGAAAAUAAGAUACAAGAGCUGAAUAGCAUAUUGGCUGGAGCAGGCCACUAUUGACUAGAGAUUCUAAUGCGAACGACGAUGCCAUGAAGAUAGACAAGCAGGACAAAACAAAGAAAAGUAAGGGAAUAUGCUGGUGAUACGAAGAAUUCGAAAGAGACCUGCUCGACUAACUUGUGCUUCAGAACCUUCUCCUUAUCAAGUAUCUUGAUGGCGACGGGAUCACCCGUCUCGGAGUUUUUUGCGAACCGGACCUUCGCAAAGGUCCCUUCCCCAAUCGUGCGGCCGAGCUCAUACUUGCCCACACGACGCUUCACUUUUGGCGCUGAUGCAGUCAACUUGGAUCUAUAACUCAUUUUUAACUCUUGCAAAAAACAAAGAAGAGACUUUCCAGCAAAUGCCUCUGAGAAAUUCUGAAACACCUGGAAGCAAAAAAAAAAAACAAAAGGUUUCUCUUUACAUUCUUGAUAGGAGAAAAUCUACUAACACUCACAUUGAUAAGAAAAGAUAGGAAAUUAGGAGAUAAGUCACAAGAUUUUCAGCGACAAAGAUUCCCAUUAAAAUCACUACCCAUAGAAAGAAAUUCACAUUAUUAUAGAAUUGGUAUUUCCAGAAAAAUCACAGGAAAAGGAAGCUAACAUCAACCGAUCGCCAAACCUCAACGCCCUCGUUCAAAACAAUUUCAUUUUUUCCCUCAUAGUAGAAGGUAUGUAAAAGAAUUCGUAAAUUUGAAAGUUACAUAACUCCAUUAGAAAAAAAAAAAAAAAAAGCUUUCUAAGAUAUUGAUAUCAAACAUAUCAUGCAAAAUGCGGAAUGUAAUGAAGUAUAAAUGAAGCUCAAAUUAUCUCGAAGAGAUUAUUAAUACACAAACUGAAAGCGAACAACGCAGACCGCCUAUACUCUCCAGAUGAAUUUCAGAUCCGACAAGUAACAAAAAUCAGAUCCAAGUGCAAAGAACUCCAACAGAAGUAACAUAUAGGAUAAAAUAUGAGUGAGUUAGCUCGAAGAUGAAAAGCAAUGCCUAUAUCAGAAGCUACUAACAGUAGCAAGUGAACUACUAUCUAACAUCUAAAACUAAUAGUUGCAACACUUCGAACCUCCGAAUCUGGGCAUAAGAAUCCAAUUGCCCUUCGCAAAACCCUCCAGAUUCCCUCUAAUGUAGAGUCCACAAUGUUACUAUAUAUACUAGACCAUCUCCAAGAUAUAACUAAAUACUAAAUUAUUAGAAUACAGUCCAUGUUACACAUCAGAAACUUAGAAAAUGAGCAUGGCACCAAAGAAAGAGGCCCUUAUAUUAGUCUAAAGAGGAAAGAGAGGAUAUUCUUUCUCACUGUAAGAAGAAACAGCUAAAAGUUCAGAAUCCCAAUAGUAUAUACAUAUACAAAGCAAAUUUAUAAACAAAGUCUCCAAUACUUUUUAACAAACAAAGCACUAAACAGUCAAAAUCAGCAAAAGCAACCAUUGAACAAUCAAACAUAGGAAAUUUGACUCCCACACUUUGAAAAGCUCACCUAUGUUCAAUAUUAUAUUAAAAAUAAAAUAUUAAGUAAAAAAAGACUAAAUUCUUGUUUUGGUGCCAAAACAGAAACCCAUAGAGGAAAUCAAAAAACAAAAUUCUUGAUUUGGGGAAAAAAAAUAUAUAUAUAUGUGAAAGAUUCUCAAACCCCCAAAUGACACACAAGAGUAGAAAUGAAAAAUCUCAAACCUUCAGGAAAAGGAAGAGAACCAACCCCAGAGCCCACAAAACUCUACACGCAUGCACCCACAGAGGAAAGAUCUCAACUUGGUGCCCCUCAAAAUGGCUCCUUUACAAUGUAUUCCCUAAAUUUUUGUCCCUAGGUGUUCACAAAAGUGAUCAAAUGAGUGGAAUGAAACCCAGUAGAGAACAAACCAAGAGAAGAAGAAGAAGAAGAAGAAGAAGAAGAAGGGGAAUGAGGGAAAUGGGGGAAAGGGUGGGGUUGUGUAAAUAGCAUCCCAAGCUCCAUCAAACACUAAGGUCCUGUUUGGAUGCAUUCUAUGGUUUUGACCUAAAUGAAAUACGGAAUCACGUAAUUACAAAAAAACUUUCACAGUUUUAUUUUUAGGCUGUUUGAAUACAGAUCAUAUAAUUUCACAAUAUUUAUAAUAAUUAAAUUUUUAAAAUUUUAAAAUUUAAAAUUCAAAAAUAAAAAUUUAAAAAUUAAAAUUCAAAAUUCAAAAUAUAAAAUUAAAAUUUAAAAUUAAAUAUUAAAAAAUUAAAUUAGAUUUUAUGUUUUAAAUUUGAAAUUUGAAAUUUGGUAUUUGAAAUUUAAAAUUUGAAAUUUGAAACUUUAAAUUUUAAAAUUUAAAGUAUACCAUUUAAACUUUAAAAUUUGAAAUUUAAAAAAUCUAUAAUUAAAAUUUUAAAUUUUAAAUUUAAUAAUUUAUAAAUUUACAUAUUUAUAAAUUUAAAAUUUAAAAUUUAAGUUUAAAUUUAAAUUUUGAAAAUUGAAAAUUAAAAAUUAAAAAUUAAAUUAAAAUUUGAAAUUUGAAAUUUAAAAUUUGAAAUUUGAAAUUUUUGAAAUUUGAAAUUUGAAAUUUGAACUUUUUGAAAUUUGAAAUUUGAAAUUUGAAUUUUGAAAUUUGAAAUUUGAAAGUUGAAAUUUGAAAUUUGAAAGUUGAAAUUUGAAAGUUGAAAUUUGAAAUUUGAAGUUUGAAAUUUGAAAUUUGAAAUUUGAAAUUUGAACUUUUUGAAAUUUAAAAUUUUAAAUUUGAAAUUUGAAAUUUAAAAUCAAAAUUUAAAUUGAAUUUUAAAAUUUUAAAUUUUGAAAUUUAAAAUUUUAUGUUGAAAUUUAAAAUUUAGAAAUUGAUAUAUUUUUUGAAGCCCAAAAUGGUAGAAUUUUUUUCCUUUGGUUAAAGUAGAUUGUAAGUUUACUCUAUUUUUUAAAGUAUAGUAUAACUAUACUUCAAAAAUUACGUUAUUUUUUUUUUCGUCCAAACGCUUCAUAGGAUUAUUUUCCUACCGGCAUUGCAUAGUUUAACUAUGCUACGUUUUUAGAGGUACCCAAACGGGGCCUAAUACCCCACUAAGUUUGUGACAAAAGCUUUGGCCUUUUCCUCUUUUCUCUCUCUCUCUCUCUUUCUUUAUGUAUACCAGCUUUGUACUGGAAUGUCCUUUGCCAUUGUUCAAAACGAAGAAAACCGCCACAUGGACUCUCUCACGCUCCCCGCUCCCUCUUUAUCUCCUGAAUUUUUUUACAAACAAUCCUCUACAAUUUGAUAAUUUACAAAAUAACCUCCCUCUUUAUCUCCUGAACUUUUUUACAAAAUAAUUCUUUAAAAUUUGAUAAUUUACAACAACAAUCGUGUCCAAAUUAUAUUUGAAAAACUAACCUUCUUAUGAAGAUUUUCUUUGAAGACGGUAAACCAUUUACCGUCUUCCUAAUUUUCCACAAAGACUUCGCUUAUUUAUUAUUUCUUUCUAUAUCAUAUAUAUAAAAUUCUAACUAUCACGUAAAUAUUUUAACAAAUCACGUAUAAUCUUAACAACCUGAAAAUCCUAAUAAUUUAUCCAUAUAAUUUUAUAUAAUCUUAACAGCCUAAAAGUUCUAAUAGUAUAUCCAUAUAAUUUUAUAUAAUCUUAACAGCCUGAAAAUCCUAAUAAUCUAUUCAUACGAUCCUAACAAUCAAAAAAAAUUCUAAUAAUAUAUUCAUACAAUCCUGAUAAUCAAAUAAAAAUUCUAAUUAUCUAUAUAUAAUCCUAGCAACCUCACUUUUUUAUAUUUCCUAUAUAAUCCACGCACAAGUUUUAUUGGGAAUCCGGUACUCGCCCCAGUACCGGAUAUCGUGAAUCCGCAACCCGCUCCGAUACUGACUGCUGUGGAUCCGGUAUCGAUUGUUGGGAUUCCGCAACGGAAACUUCGAAUCGGGUUUUUACCAUAAACCCGUCUCUUCAGCAAAAACUGAUACAAUCAUAAAAGAAAAAAAAUAUGCAGGUAAAAUAAGAUUCAUUAAAUAAGAGAAGAUUACACCUGCCUCCUCUUCUGCACAGAGUAGCUACAACCCGAGCCCUCUUUCUUUAAUUUCUUCUACCCUUCUCUCGUCUUCUAUAAACCCAUAAAGAAGACAAUCAUUCACACACACCCGUGCACUAGGUGUACUCAAUAACUCUCUCUCUCUCUCUCUUUUUCUCUCUCUGGUACGGCACCUCCAAGCUCUCAACCGUACUACUCCCAAAAAAAGCACCAUCAAGAGCUAUUUAUAAUGCUCAACUUAAAACGUACCACAAUCCUAAUAUAUUUAGGAUUCAUACUCUAAUAUUUAAAUCUAUCUUAAUCAAUCUCUAAUAGAUUUAAAUAUUAAUCCUAAUCUAGUUAGAUUUAUCCUCUAAUUAAUAUUUAAAUCUUAAUUUAUCAUUUAAAUAUUAAUUUUUAUCCAAAUAGAAUUUAACUACAAAUCUAACCAAAUCUUAACAAUUUUAAUGAAUGUGGCGAACGAUUCACCGUCUUCAAAAAAAAUUGGAGAAUGCGGGGAAUGAUUCACCAUCUUUAAAAGACAUGGGAGGACACAGUGAACGAUUCACCGCUUUUCGAAAAAUAAUCUCAGAUGGAGAAAAGAGAGUUAAUAUAAAUUUUACAGGAUUAUUUCAUAAUUAUAAAAUUUUAGAGGGUUAUUUUAAAAAAAAAAAAUCCAUAUCUCCUCCCCCAUUGUCUUCUACUCUGCACACCCCCUCUUCUCCACCUCAUAGUUAUUAACUGCUUUUGGGCCUUUUCCUACCUUGGAUAGUUUCCACUUUCCAGUUACCAACUCUUUUAUUAGCAUGUUUAUGUAUGCAUAUUAUUAUACCACUGAGUGUCCUUAGGUCUCACUGUAAAGUGUAGUGCUGAUCCAGUAGUAGCUUAUUCAGAUCAUACGCAAUACAAAGUUACUGCUUUUAUCAUUUGUUUUUUAUAAAAUAAGAAAAAACUUCAAAUAUUACCUAUAUGAUUUCGCACUAUCUCACUUUAACAUCUGUAGUUUAAAUUGUAUCACUUCCGUACUCUGCGGUUUUAUUUUUCUCUUUUUGUUAUCUCCUCCGCUAAUUUUUUUUCGUUAAAUCAGCGACAAAGUUAAAACUAAAGUGUACUAAAGUGAAUAUUCGGUAAACUAUAAUUGGAUAUCUAAAAUUUUUUAUAUAUGAUUAACGGAGGAGCUCACGAAAAGAGAAAAAAGAAACCACGUAAUACUAAUUGAUAUAUUUUAAACUAUAGAAUAGUAAAGUGAAAAUAUAUGAAACCACAUGAAUGGUAUUUAGAAUUUACCCUACAAAAAACAGUACAAUUUUUUUUUUCGUUUUGUAAGCGCUAAACAAAAGAUAGCUAAUAUUAAACAUAGAAAUAAAUGCGACAACACUUAAUGUUUUAUUUUAUUUUGUUUUAUUCCCUGGAACUUGAUCAUGCAAUUGAUCUAUGAUGUAGUUGAUAAAACACAAAAUUGGUCAAGUGGGUUCUUGCUAAUUGUUGUGAGACAAUGCAUAAGGAGUGCAAUUAAUUGGAUGUUACGAAAUUAUUUUGAGUUCCCUUCAAGCUUAGGUUGGAAUUAAUAAAGUGUAAGGAGUAAAAAGAUCAAAGUAGGGCACAGUUAAAAACGAAGGAUAUUUUCAAUGAUUGCAUCUUGUAUUAUAUAUAUGGUUGGACCACUAAACCAAGCGAAUAAGUGAACGUACGAAUUAUGAGUGGUAAUUUUUCUAAGAAAUUAUUUUUUCUUAUGUAAAUUUAGGUAAAAAUAUGAAUCAACUAAAAUUCGAACUUAUCGGUCCCAGAUACCAAUCAUCAAGUCCUUUGUCACUUGCAUGAGGGACAAUUGGUCUUUCCUGGUUUGUCAAUAUCAAUAGAGAGAGACGAAGCCGUGGCGCGCUUUAGGAGGAUUAAGUGCGGUGGAUCGAUCUCACAGCCUUGUUCUACGACAACUUAGGUUUUUAAGAGUAAAUAGUUGUUUCACAUUAUAUCAGAAUAAAAUAUUUUAAGUUCGAGUAUACCCUAGACACCUAGUUUUAUUGAAUUCUCUUGCAAAAUUUUUUUAAUAUUUUAUACAGAAUAACCACACUGUUGGUCCCCAAUCUUUAUUCAAGUUUUACCAUUUAAGCCUCAGCCUUUUAAUUUCUGUAAAUAAGUUUUCGAACCUUCAGUAUAUAUUGUUUCAAUAAAGUCUCUAUCAUUAAAAAUAGAAAAAACUUCAAAUACCAUCCGUAUAGUUUCACACUUUCUCAUUUUAGUAUCAUGUGGUUUAAAGUGUAUCAAUUUAGUAUCAUGUGGUUUUAUUUUUAUCUUUUCGUCGGCUUUUUCGUUAAUAUUUCGUUGAAUUAUUUAUAAGAAACUUCAAAUAGUCUAUCUAAAUUUAUUAAAUAUUUAUCAAGUUGUUCUUGAUGAUAGAGAUUUCGAAUCGAUGAUCGGAGCCGUUGAAGUUGAUCUAGAGUAUUUGAAAUAUCUAGAAACUAAAUUUCAUAAAUUUUAAAAAUUAUUUACAUGGUGAUCAAAGUGUUGUAAAAUCGACAAUUUUUGAUGGCCUAUAUGAGCCGUUUGCUUGUUUAACAGUGUAGAGCAAUUCAAAUUGCUUGAAUUUUUGAUAAAAAAUUCUUUAUAUUAUUUAGAUAAUGUUUGAUAAUUCUGAUUAUGAAUUGAGAAAGUUUAACCUCUAUUUUAAGAAGGUCAUUCAUUUAUGACCGUUCAUUUUUCAAACUCUUCGAUGAACUUGACAAUGAUUUUUAAAUAUUACAAAAUUUGGUUUCGAAACAUUUCUAAUUGUAUAGUUCAAUUUCAAUGGUACCGAUUAUGAAUUUGAAGCUCCGAUCAUUUAAAAUGACUUGAUAGGACAAUGUCCUCAAUCCUAUUAAUAGGAUAGUAGAUGGACUAUAUAUAUAUAUAUAUAUUGAAUUAUGUUAUUAUACUAUCGAUAAUACCAAACACUUUGUAUUAUCGAGUUUUCGACCGUUAAGUAAAAGAAUGUGUGGUUAUGAUGAUAGUGGUCUCCGAUUAAGAUGAUAGUAGUUCCUGAGGAUUAAGUGCAUGGUUGGUUGAAUAGUAUAUUCUACGGGUGGAAAUGAUCAAAAGGUAGAUCUAACGAUAGAAAACUCGAUAGUAGCAAGGGCUUGAUAUUAUCGAUAGUAUAGUAGUUGGACUUAUAUUGAAUUAUAUAUAUAGAGUACAGUUAUUAUGCUAUUGGAAGUAUAAAGGAUCUCGUGCUUCCGACUUUUUCGUCUUAGAUCAGUCCCUUUAAUCAUUUCUAACUUUUGGAUUAAUAUUAUUAUCCUGUGGGGAUCACUCAACUCCAAGAGUACUACUUAAUCUUAUGAGGGAUCGCAAUCAUUCCAACCGUAUAAUUCUUGAUCCAAGGGUCAAAAAAUCGGAAACAUCAAAUGCUUUAUGUUUUCGAUAGCAUAGCAACUUGACACACACACACAUAUAUAUAUAUAUAUAUAUAUAUAUAUAUAUAGAGUUGAGCUGGAAUGCUAUCGGUAGCAAACUAGCUCCGUUGCCACCCAUUUGUUUUCGAUGAUGGAGCCUUUAAAUCGACGAUCGGCGCCGUUGAACAUGAUCUAUACCACUUGAAGUAUAUAGAAACCAAAUUUCAAAUCAUUUCGACAUCAUUGACCUAAUGAUCAAAGGGUUUCAAAAUUUGUAAUUUUAAUGGUAGAUAUAAGGCAUUUUCUCGUUUAACGGUGUAAAGCUAUCCAAAUCAAUUGAAUUUUGGUUAGAAAAUUCUUUAAACUAUUUAGAAUAAGAUCUAUACUCUCGAUCUUGAUUACAAAAUUCCUAUCAUCACUUUUUAGAGGAUAUUCAUUUUUACGCUCACUUGAUGAUAAGAGAACAAUAUCGAAAAAGUAUGAAAUUUGAUUCUAGAUACUUCAAGUGGUAUAGAUUAUAUCAACGGUUCCGAUCAUCGAUUUGGAGGCUCCAUCAUCGAAAACAAAUGUGGCACCGGAGCCCGUUUGCUACCGAUAGUAUUCUAGCUCAACUCUAUAUAUAUAUAUAUAUAUAUAUAUAGGAUCGGCUGGAAUACUAUCGAUAGCACCAAAGUUUUCACCUCUAAAUUUAACUCUUUGAUUAUUUUUACCCGUUAGAUUAUACUAUUCAACGAACCACUUACUCAACUCUAGGGGCCCACACACACACAAAUAUAUAUAUAUAUAUAUAUAUAGGAUCCGACUGGAAUACUAUCGAUAGCAUCAGUUUUCCACCUCUAGAUUAACUCUUUGAUUAUUUUUACCCAUUAGAUUAUACUAUUCAACGAACUACUUACUCAACUCUAGGGCGCCACAUCAUCCUUAACCACACAUUUCUCAAUCCAAUGGCUAAAAAAUUAAUAUCACCAAUAGCUUGGUGCUAUUGAUAGUAAUUCCAACCUAGUUUUAUAUAUAUAUAUAUAUAUAUAAUAUAUAUAUAUAUAGAGUUGAACUGGCUACUAUUAGUAGUAAAAUCCCAUUGUUGCUACAGUUUUUUAGCCUUUGGAUCAACUCUUUUCAUUAUUUUCUAACCCAUUGGAUUAAAUACUAUAACCCAGUGGGGACCACUCAACCCCUAGGGGGACCACUCAACUCUAACCGACUAAUAUCAUCCUGACCUUACAAUUUUUCAUCUAAGGGUUAAAAACUUGAUAGCAAAAAGAGCAUUUUACUAUUAAUAGUAUCCAGCCUAAUUCUAUAUAUAUAUAUAUAUAUAAUAUAUGCAGGCUGCUGUGCUCUAGGAGCACGAGCCCUCUGUGUGCUCCUGGGCCGUUUUCGAUGAUGGGACUCUCAAAUCGACGAUCGCUCCAUUAGACUUGAUCUAGCGUAUUUGAAGUUUCUAGAAAAUAAUUUUGCAAUUUUUUCGAUAUCAUUUACCUAGCAAUCGAAAGGAUUCAAAAUCAAUCAUUUUUAACGGCUGAAAAUAAAAAUCAUAUAAAAAGUGGUGAUAUAGCAUAAAAUUUCGAUCAUAAAUAUUGAUCUUUGUAGACAGUAUUAAGAAUUUUGUAUCAAAAUUUAUCUGAUUUGAAUACUUCUACAUCGUUAAACUUGAAAACGGCAGAUAUCAACCAUUAAAAUUAUUGAUUUUGAAUCCUUUCGAUCACUAGGUAAAUGAUAUCGAAAAUCGCAAAAAUUAUUUUCUAGAGACUUCAAAUACCCUAAUCAAGUCUAACGGACGCGAUCGUCGAUUUGGAUGUCCCAUCAUCGAAAAACGGCUCAGGAGCACGGAGGGCUCCGUGCUCCUGAGAGCACAGCAGCCCUACUAUAAUAUUAAUUUUCAACCAUGUGUCAUUAUUUUACGCUCACUUGAUGAUAAGAGAACAAUAUCCGAAAAAGUAUGAAAUUUUUCUAGAUACUUCAAGUGGUAUAGAUUAUAUCAACGGUUCCGAUCAAUCGAUUGAGCCCAUCAUCGAAAACAAAUGGGUGGACACGGAGCCCGUUUGCUACCGAUAGUAUUCUACUCAACUCUAUAUAUAUAUAUAUAUAUAUAUAUAGGAUCCGGCUGGAAUACUAUCGAUAGGCACCAAAGUUUUCCACCUCUAAAUUUAACUCUUUGAUUAUUUUUACCCGUUAGAUUAUACUAUUCAACGAACCACUUACUCAACUCUAGGGCCCACACACACACAAUAUAUAUAUAAUAUAUAUAUAGGAUCCGACUGGAAUACUAUCGAUAGCAUCAGAGUUUCCACCUCUAGAUUUAACUCUUUGAUUAUUUUUACCCAUUAGAUAUACUAUUCAACGAACUACUUACUCAACUCUAGGGCCCACAUCAUCCUUAACCACACAUUUCUCAAUCCAAUGGCUAAAAAAUUAAUAUCACCAAAUAGCUUGGUGCUAUUAAUAGUAAUUCCAACCUAGUUUUAUAUAUAUAUAUAUAUAUAUAUAUAUAUAUAUAUAUAGAGUUGAACUGGGCUAACUAUUAGUAGAAAUCCCAUUGUUGCUACCAGUUUUUAGCCUUUGGAUCAACUCUUUUCAUUAUUUCUAACCAUUGGAUUAAAUACUAUAACCCAGUGGGGACCACUCAACCCUAGGGGGACCACUCAACUCUAACCGACUAAUAUCAUCCUGACCUUACAAUUUUUCAUCUAAGGGUUAAAAACUUGAUAGCAAAAAGAGCAUUUUACUAUUAAUAGUAUCCAGCCAAUUCUAUAUAUAUAUAUAUAUAUAUAUAAUAGCAGGCUGCUGUGGCUCUUAGGAGCACGGAGCCCUCUGUGCUCCUGGCCGUUUUCGAUGAUUGGACUCUCAAAUCGACGAUCGCUCCAUUAGACUUGAUCUAGCGUAUUUGAAGUUUCUAGAAAAUAAUUUUGCAUUUUUCGAUAUCAUUUACCUAGCAAUCGAAAAGAUUCAAAUCAAUCAUUUUAACGGCGAAAAUAAAAAUCCUAUAAAAACGUGUGAUAUAGACUAAAAUUUCGAUCAUAAAUAUUGAUCUUGUUGUAGACAGUAUUAAGAAUUUUGUAUCAAAAUUUAUCUGAUUUGAAUACUUCUACAUCGUUAAACUUGAAAACGGCAGAUAUCAACCAUUAAAAUUAUUGAUUUUGAAUCCUUUCGAUCACUAGGUAAAUGAUUCGAAAAAUCGCAAAAAUUAUUUUCUAGAGACUUCAAAUACCCUAGAUCAAGUCUAACGGAGCCGAUCGUCGAUUUGGAUGUCCCAUCAUCGAAAACGGUCAGGAGCACGGGGCUCCGUGCUCCUGAGAGCACAGCACCCUACUAUAUAUAAUAAUAUAUAUUAUAUAUAAUUGAGCUCCUAUGCUUUUAAAAGUACCAAGUUAUUGGUACUGUAGGUUUUUAGCCAUUGGAUUAAGAAAAUAUCGUUAGGAUGAUGUGGCUCCUAGGUUGAGUGAGUGGUUGGUUGAAUAGUAUAAUCUAAUGGUUGAAAAUGAUCCGAAAGUAAUAAAUGAUUUAACAGUAAAAAACUUACAAGCACCAAGUGCUUGGUGCUUUUACAAGCACCAUAGCUGACUCUAUAUAUAUAUAUAUAUAUAUAUAUAUAUAUAUAUAUAUAUAUAUAUAUAUAUAUAUAUAUAUAGUGUAAGGCUGCUAUGCUAUCGGAAGCACGGAGCCUUCCGUGCUUCCAGCUCGUUUUCGAUGUAGCGACUUUCGAAUCGUCGAUCGCUCCGUUAAACUUGAUCUAAGAAUAUUUGGAGUACCUAGAAAAUAAAUUUAUUAUUUUUCGAUAUCAUUUGCCUAGUGAUCGAAUGGACUCAAAAUCAACAAAUUUCAAUGGCCGUAUUGAGCCAUUUGCAAGUUUAAACGCUGUAGAAAUAAUACAAAUCACGUGAAAUUUUGAUAGAAAAUUCUUUAUACUAUAUAAAACAAGAUCAAUAUCUUUGAUUUAAAAUUUAAUGUCAUAUAUUACAUUUUGUAAAUUUUUAUUUUCAACCGUGAUUUUGAGCCCCUUCGUCACUAGGCAAAUGAUAUCGAAAAUACAUAAAAUUUAUUUUCUAUGUACUUCAAAUACUUUAGAUCAAUUAACGGAGCCGAUCGACAAUUCGAAAGCCGUAACAUUGAAAACGAGCUGGAAGCACGGAAGCUCCAUGCUUCCGAUAGCAAGUAGCCUCUCUUCUCCUCUCCUCUAUAUAUAUAUAUAUAUAUAAACUAGGCUACUAUGCUAUUAAUACACCAAGUCGUUGGUGCUACCAAGUUUUUAGCCAUUGGAUUAAGAGAUUGUGUUAGGAUGAUGUGGGCCCCCUAGGGUUGAGUGGGUGUUGGUUGAAUAGAUGAUCUAACGGUGAAAAUGACCAAAUGAUAGAUUUAACGGCGGAAAACUUAGUAGCACCAAGUGCUUCGUGCUAUUAAAGCAUAGUAGCCGGACUCUAUAUAUAUAUAUAUAUAUAUAUAAAUAUAUAUAUAGAGUAGAGCUAGAAUACUUGUAAAAGUAUCACCCAAGUGAUACUUGUGUGUUUUUUAACCCUUGAUGAGAAUGUGAGGUUGAGAUGAUGGUGGUAGGUGGUAGUAGGUGGUAGGGAAUAGUGUUUGAUCCAAGGACUAUUAGUAAUCAAAAAGUAGAUCUAAUGGCUAAAAACACACAAAGUAUCACUUGGGUGAUACUUGUAAAAGUAUUCUAGCCCUACUCUAUAAUAUAUAUAAUAUAUAUAUAUAUAUACGUGACUACUAUGUUCUUUUGAGUAUAGAGCCAUUUCCGGUCCUCUAGGGUUUAGUAGGUGAUUGGUUGAAUAGCAUAAUAUAACAGAUAGAAAAGAUCAAAGAGAUAGAUCUAACGAUUAAAAACUUAUAAAUAUAAAGCAGUCUAUACUCAUAAAACUAUAAUAGCCAGACUCAUAUAUAGGUUGGAGUUACUAUACUCUUACGAGCAUAGAGCCCUCUGUACUCGUAAGUGUUUAUAUAUAUAUAUAUAUAUAUAUAUAUCAGAUAAAGGUUAGAAACCAAGGAAAAUUACAAACUUAGGUGAAGACAAGCUAUCAGCAGCCCAAGUGCACCCACUAGUUCCCAAAUUUUAAAUUUUAGGGCCUGAGAGGGCAAUAAAAAUCAAGAUAAAUGGAGCUUACUAGGAACCCUAUUUUGUGAGGCUAGAAAAUUCAAGAUGAAACAACUUAUUUGAUUUAGAGCCUGUUUGGCCGCACUUCUUUAACUUAUUUUACAAGAAUUAGAUCUUACUGAACCAUUGAUUCUACAGGAUUCAAGAACCACAUAAUCAACAUAUGAAGCAAAAUUUGGACUUCGCAAACGAUUACACGUACGCCUAAUCGAUAUUUCAAAGGGAAUCUCUUCGUUCAUGCAAAAUUUUCUGUACUGGACGAAAAAUGAUAGUUGUGCAUAGAUAUAUAGGUCCUACGACACUCAAUUUAAUGCAUGCAAUAAUAUAUUGAUGUAUAUAUAUUGACUUAUAUAUAUAAUGCAUAGCAACGUAUCAGCGAAUAUAAAGGAUAUAUACCAUUCAAAGGAGUACUAUUUGAAUCACUUAUCUUUUUGGAAAAUAUUGUGUGGGGCUUGAAUGUAGACGAUUAUAGAUUUUCCGUGUUUAGCUUUUCUUUCUCGCCGAUUUGGAAUUAUCCAAAAUGGGUGCCCGCUACCGGGCUGUUUGGUUGCAUGCAUUUCUAAUUGCAUUGCAGUUGAAAAUGCAUACAUCUAUUAAAUCUUUGUUUAGUUUGGUAUAGUUAGGCCCAAGUGCUGCAGUUGCAUCUGUACGAGAAGGCCCAACUACAGUAAUUGGUACUGCAGCCAAAUUGGCUAUAGUACCAACUGCAGCAGUUGGGCCGGAGUCAGCGAUCACCCAUUAAAAAAAUAAAACAAAAUGUGAUUUUUUUCAUACGCUUCUUUUUUUUAUUUUUUUUUCAAAAAUACCUAUUCAUGAAAUUUGAUAGGAUUUAAUAAUGUCUAUUAGGGUCAAUAAAUUUUUUUCAUAUGUUUCUUUUUUUUUCAGUCGGUUAGUUUAAUAAUAUCUUAAUUUUUAUUUUGACCAAAUUUAUAAUAUAUUUGUAUUUAAAAUUUAUUAAAUUCAUACAUAAUUUUAUAAUAUAUAAAUUAUACAUAGAUAUAAAAGUCUUAAUUAAUAAUUAAAACAUGAUUAAGUUAUGCUCAGAAGAGAUAAUCUCACAUUUCUAUUUAAAAAUUGACAAAAUUUAUAAAUAUAAAUUUCAACUGCAGACUACCAAACGGAAGAAAUGUCACUGCAGCAGUUGUAACUUUAUAAAACCAAACAGACUAGGUAAGCAGUUGUAACUUUAUAAAACCAAACAGACUAGGUAUAGUUAUAGAGUACUAAAGUUAGAAAGCGUGAAACUACAGAGAUGGUAUUUGAAGUUUACCCUAAAUUAAAUUAGAAUAAAUUAAUAAAUGCACAAGUAAUCCCCAAACUUUUAGACAAGUUUUAUUUUGGCCCUCCAACUUUCAAGUUCAACAUUAGUUCUCUUGAUUUUUGGCCCUCCAAAUUAAUAUUUUUUGCACUUAAAUUUCACUUAAAGUACUGUUUUUAGUCAACUUUUAAAUUAAAACAUUUAAUACUCCCAAAUUUUCAAAAAUGCAUGUUCGACAAAAAAAAAGGGCUCCAUUAAUUCUUUAAAUAAAUUCAAAGAGCUGAACAAAGCCAAUAUAAAAGUAAAAUUUAACAAAGAGUUAUUGACCUGCAGUGCAAAUUAGGAAAAAAAAAAAAAUAGUCCCAACGUUGUAUACAAUACCAAAAUAUUAAUGUUCCUCAAUUGUUCAAUCUUUUUGAGUAAAUCAAUUGUUUCACAUGAUAUUAUCACAUUUUCUCCCAUUAAGUUCAAGCUUAUAUUCCGAGCGUAUCAACAAGUCAUCAGUUCAGAUGCGAUAAAAAGUAUUGAAUUCAAAAUAUUAUAAUAUUAUUCUUUAGUAACCUGAGCUUCUAAAGUAUUUCACGUCCAGAUCUCCCAAAUUCUCAUUCAAGAUUAUCAUACAAAUCAGAUGCAGCAUCACCAUUCCUCGAUUGUUCUUUUGUCACAAAAUCAUAUAAUUCAGAUCGUUUAACUUACGUCAUUUUAAAAACCGACUAAUGCUCACAAAUCACGCAAAAAAAUCAGAUGGGUCUGAUUUUUUUUUUUUUUUUUACUUUAAAUUUUUCCUAAUACCAUCAACUGUAUCACACAACCAAUUAUGUCUCUAUCAUGCCAGAUAAUAAUAUCAUGACUACCCAAUCAAUCAAGCACCAAAAAGAAAAAUAAAAAAAAGGAAAAGGAAAAGAAAAAGUGUAGACAUAUAUGCCACACUGGAAUGUUAGGAAGCUUCCUCUUAAAUGGAGAGAGACCCCAAGUAGUAACAACAACAACAACAACAACAACAUAUAUGAAUGCGACAUACAAAAUAGGCCAUGGGCAAAUAUGUGGACAUUCAAUGCACUACUAAAGUUUUGCAUGAAUUUGAACAUAUUAUAUUAUUAUAUAUGACAUAUUUGGAGAUAUAACCGUAGACAUAGUCCGUGGGGAUUCGUACUAUUCCUUUUUCGUAGUCCCAUUCGUUGAUGUUUGCGGCUAUAAAUGGAAAAAUUAAGUUGAUUAGAUUAGAUGAGAUGAGAUGAGAUGUUAGACACCGCACAAUGAGAGUGGUUGCUGCUAAGUUUGACACGCAAGCCGCAGAUAUAGAAUCUGGGCGUUUCGAUAACAGUCACUUUCGCCGCAGCUUUCUACGUUUACGCAGCGAAGAUAAGAGCAUUCUAUAGAUAAAAAUAUCUUUACGGCAUAAUAGCGAGUUUUACAUACAUAUAUAUAUAAAAGUAUUUAUUAUUUUUUGUAGUAGCAGAAAUAUGCAGCCGAGAUUAAGAUGUUCUACAUAUAUAAAAAAUAUCUACAAUUUUUUUGUAGUAGCAGAAGUAUGCAGCAGAGAUAAAAUUUGAAGGCACGAGUUCUACAUAUAAAAAUAUCUAUUGUUUUUUAUAGUAGCAAAAUUAUGCAGCAGAGAUGAGAGCACUCUACAUAUAAAAAUAUUUACUGAUUUUUGUAGUAGCAGAAAUAUGCAGCAGAGAUAAAAUUUAAAAGCUCGAAAUGCCAUACAGCAAUAGUGAGUUCUACAUAUAAAAAUAUUUAUUGUUUUUUAUAGUAGCAAAAUUAUGCUGUAGAGAUGAGAGCGCUCUACAAAUAAAAAUAUUUACUGAUUUUUGUAGUAGCAGAAGUAUGCAGCAGAGAUAAAAUUCGUCAUUUAUGUACAAAUCUUAAGACAAUACAAAAGGUGGAUUUAACGGAGUCGUCAUAGAGAUUGUCCAUAUAUAAUUUUUGUUCCUGAUUGAUCUAUUUAGCACUUUAUCAAUCAACACUGUACCAUUAUACUACAUAGAAAGGGCAAAUUUUUAUUUUCAGAAACAAGUACUUUGUAGCAGAAAAUGGAAAUAAUAUCAGAAAACUGUAAGUAGAAGCAGUAAUUUAUUAUUUCCACUAUUACUGAAGUUAUUAAAAAAAAAAAGGACACCCUGUUAAAUAAAUUCUAAUAUAAUGCAUGAGAUAUAUUUUCGCUUAAUAACACUGUAUCCUACAAUAGAAUCAAUUAAUCAGAUCUCAAAAAUGUUUUUUGUGUUACUUGUUCUACUGUUUGAAAAUCAAAGAAUUUUCUCGACUUCACAUCAUGAACAUCAAGUUCCUGAACUCACCAAAAGCAAAUGUUUAAUUUGAUUCAAGUACUCGUGCUUGUAAAUAUCUAGCUUAUGUGGUUAGGAUAAGCUUCAAAGGAACAGUGUAGCACAGCUUAUUGUCAUCUCAAAUAUUUUGUAAUUUGUUUGUAUUCUUACUAAUGCUGUUCCUUGAUGUCGCUGUUUCAAUCCUCUCAGAAUCAAGGGAAGGAAAAUGAUGUGCAUAUUAACCUAAAAUAAUUAAAUUAAGGGGGUAUAUGAUUACAUAUAGUUAUAACUAUAUGUAAAUUUAAAUUCAGUAGUUUAUCUGAUGCAUUUGUAUCCAACUGCAGUAUUUAGAAUUGCAUGAGAAGGUCCAACUGUAGCAAUUAAAAUUAUGCGUAAAUUGACCGCAAUUCAACUACAACAGUUAGAGAUCGAGUUUUACUUUAAACAAGCUAAACUUACAAACCUAAUCACUUUUAAAUAGAAAUUGUUUUUUUUCUACAUUAGAGGUAAUCUCAUCACCACAUAUAUAAAAUGAAAGAAAAAAAAGUACAGUGCACUUUUGAGUUGUAUGUUUUAACGUACGUAACUGAUCUAAAUUACGACUCAUUUUGAUCUUAAUCUUUAAACAUUUUGAAUUUGCUAUCUAACCUUAUAACUCAUUUGAAUUGAAUAAUCCAAUAAUUUUUAACUUCAUAAUUUGAAUGCAUCAUUUAUUUUUGUAGACUUAAUUAGCAUAAUUUACUUGAUUUAUACAACUAUAAUUCUAUUUAAUCUAGAGUUUAUACCGAAAGAGCUAUCAAAUGGCUCGCUUCAGAUAGAUCGGAAAAAUUGGAUUUAAAACCAAGCUUUUAAAAGAUUGUGUGGUUGAGUUAAGCCUAGGCAAAGUUCAGCUAAAGUACUAUAUACAUUUUUACCUUGUUUUUAAUGCAUGCAAACAAUUGUAAAUGUAACGUUGUACCUUGUUGAGACCAUACAUAAAAUGGUCCUAAACUCUCCCAUACAGCAAGAACAUGUAAGUUUUGUACAGCAUUAAUGACUACACACUAAAGUGUAGCUCUAGAGGCUUUCUAUAUGGAGUACUGGACCAUGCUAACAUUGGACUUUAGGGCACAUGGGCCUCCCCCAAGAGAGAUGUUUCAAUCCUUGUUGUAAUGUUAACAUCAUCUGUUGUUAACUUUAAAAAACUUCUGUGUGGACAAGAAAAGUUUGAGUACUCCUAUACUCAGAUGAGGAAAAAAAAUGUGCCAAUGCCUUUUAUAGGAGUAACCACAAAUUGGGGAAAUAUAAAAGGGCAUUGGAAGGAUCCAGAAGAAUAUGCUUGGACAACAUAUAGUGGGUUUUCCUGGACAAGAGCACAUGAUAUUGCCCUGUAUGUUCAGAUGGUGACUUGCAGUAAUGAUUGAAUUGAAUAGGUGAAGACAGAGGGAUAACCUUAGCAACUAUGCUGGCCCCUCUAGGAGAUAUGAAAUAGAGUAUUGCUACAGGUUCCCAGAGUGUUGCACUUAUAGAUUAUUGAUGAGUUGAUAAUUCAUGACGCGGAGCGUGUUAAGACUAAUCCUGAACUAUUUCUUGCUAGAUCGAUAUUUUGAAUAAGAUUGUAUAAGAGCCAAUUCUAAGCUCCCUCUGUUUUAAGAGAUUUUGAGUUUAAUUUCUGCAUCUGUUGUUUUACGGCAUGCGUUUAUGAUAAUUGUUCCGUUAUUAUCUCUCCAGUCAGUGCACGUGGCAUAAUGAUCCAAAGCUGUUAGAACAAUAUUACUCAAUCAUAAGGUCCUAUAGGGUUGUAGUUCGAAACUUCAUUAUAUUUCAAUAAAUGUUUUCUUCCAAGACAUGAGUCAAGCUUUAAUGAUUUUUUUUUUUUUUUUGAGAGAAACUUUAAUGAAUUUAUUUACAAGCUUUUCCCACACACACACAAAAAAAAAACAACAACAGAAAGGAUUUUUCUCAUUUCCUACAUAAAAUGUCCAAGUUUCUCCCCUUCCAAAAACUAGAGAUCUGCUAAAAGGAAAGAAAACUUCAUUGUAGGCAUUAACUUUUGGGUCUUCCUCAGAAAAAAGAUAACUUCAAUAAUAUCUACAAGAGUAUACAUAAAUACAACAAUCUGGAAAACACAUCAAAUGCACUCACACUUGAGAGACAAAAAUCAGCCUUUAAGAAUUGCACCUAUCACCCCACUCACCCUCAAAUGCAGAACAGGAUACUUAAUCGUCAUUUCCGCACUUUGGCGAGUUGUUUAUAAUUACACCACAUGCCAGGUUGAAUUUGAAGUUCAUGUGAAUGAAUGAAAUGAAUUGUAUUCUUCUAACCUUCGGAAAAUAAAAUCUUGAAAAGUUGCAGAUUGGAUUAUGUCUGUUGUGAUGACUCCGAGUCUCCACGUGUAUCAACUUUUAGGUGACUCACUUGAACAAUUCUGCAAAAUAAGACCAAUGUCGGUAAAUCUUUUUUGCCCAUUCUCUCACUAAUAUCGGCUUCAAUGGAAGAGAUCUAUUUUUAAUUUAACAAUAUUUAUUGAAGUUUCUAAGUUAGACUUAUAAGUUACAAUAUUAUUAGCAUCAGUAAGGGAAUUCAUUCUCAGCAGAUUCCAAUUCAAAAGCAUCAAGAUAUACUUUUAAAAUCUGUCAGACAUAGAAUUGAAAUCCUGCAAUAACUCCGAUAGAAGGUUCAGAAACAUCUGCAAUUUUGCAUGAAAAAUAACAUUUCGAGAUAUCUACUACUGCUCUAACUCAUUUUUAGGCAUGCAAAUGAUAACAAAAGGCGCAAGAGUCUAUAGAGUGGUUUUAACAUAAUGUCAUGUCGUUUGUUCUUGGACUCUUCAAUUCCCUGAUUAAACCAUGCUUAAUAUUACAGUUUUAUCAACAGCAUACGACUUUACCCUGUAAGAAAGAAUCAUCGGCAAGAAUGUAAGACAUCAUAAUCAAUCGACAGAACAUUGGCAAUUCAUCCUCCUAAAAAGGAUAUUUUGAUUACGUACUAGGCACAAGGCUUAAUUGUACUAGUAUGUUCUCAUAAUUGUAAAUUUGUUAAUCUGGAAAAACAAAACUUACCUUAUGAUUGUUGCAUAUGACCAUCUCCAUGAGCUGAUGUCGUGCUCGCUCUUUCUUCAUCAGCCCUUGCAACUUCAAUAUCUCCAUCUUCAGAACUGUAGCUCUCACUUAAGUCUAGAGAUUCUGUAUCUUUAGUGUGUUGAAUAACAGGAAAAGCGAAUGGAUCUGAUGCAUCUAGUCCAUGUCUUUCCUUCGCCUGUAAAUUAUUCUCGAUUUCGGUGUAAUCCAAGCCCCGCAAUAUGUUUGGAACGGACAAAUUGCUGUCAAAUUCGUGCCUAACACCUAUUUCCAAGUCUAUUUUCUCCUUCAGGCCACCCAAACUAAUUCCGUGAUAUGGAGCAAUAGUAACGGAUCCAACUUCUGAUGCCUCCUCGGUCACCCAUGAUCGAAAUUUAUUCAAUGAAGGGGGCAUUUUCGAGAAAAAGACUUGUUUGAAGUUACUUAAUAUACCCUUGUUAUAUGGAUUUUCCUUUUUAUCGUAGCGGUAUCGGAAGUUCUCAUAAGUUGUCUGCACCAAAAAAGCAUCAGCUCUUUUCGGUAGCCGCAAAGAAUAGGAAGAAAGAAAACUAUAACAAUAACUCAAAACUUUAAGAAUCACAUAAACUUAAAAAGAAAAGUUUCAUCACAUUAAUUCAAGGUCACCAUGAAAGAAUUAUUCGCAUAUGAUGCCCCUCAUAUACUUCUAGAAUGAAUAUACUAAAUACAGCAUUUUAGGAGAAAUAUGUGCAAGUUUUUGUGGACAUUAUUAAGUAUUUACCUGAUUCGAGCUGAUUAGGUAUGUAUGGAAUGCCGUGAGACCACCGACAAACCAUACUGCAAUGAAAGUGUACACUAUUAGCACUAGGGACAAAACCUCGCCCGUCAUGGACUUCCACAAUGAAUUGUUGUAGUUUUUUCUCUCCUCGAUAAUAUUUAGCCAGGAAAGGGUGAAGACAUAUAUGCAAAGGAAGGUCGACGAUGAUAUAAAUAAGUAAAAGAACCGGUAGUUGCGCUGCAUCAAUUUUAGGAAGUUUUGUUAGUUCCAAGAAAUAUUAUGUGAAAAUGUACAAUAUAAAAAUGUACGGAUCGUAACUGAGGUCUAGUGCAUUUUGAAACAGAUACCUGAACUCUAAAAAUAUCAAUUUUACUACCUAACCUUACAAAAUAUAGGAUCUAAGUAUCUCAGCAACAGAACUUUAUGCUGUUCUUUACUUCUUUUGAAGGAAUAUUCUGUAAACAAAUGGACUAUGCUAUCACGUCACAAAAUAUUCAAUAAAUUUUGAUGAACUUGAGAAACUUUCUGAAAUCAAAGGUUAUAAAACGUUAGGUAGUGUAAUCCAAAUUUUCAUAGUUCGGAUAGCUAUUUCAAAAUGCGCUGCAGUUCAGAUAAGCCAUAGGUUUUCAGCAAUUUAUAAUUCAGAUAACUUACCAAUCCAAUGCACUGACCAACCCAUGGGCAGUGGUGAUCGAACUUCUGGACACAGUUAUUGCAGAUUGAACAGUGAGAAGCCCGAGGUGGCCGAUACAGCAUACAUGUAUCGCAGUAUUUCACCUUUACAGUGUAGCCAUUUACAACAACAUCCUUUGUGCGCGGCAGCCGUAAGUGCGGGCUUGUUGCAUUGAUCCACUCCAUCGAAGGAGUGUUGACAUCGAAUGCCUCAUCAGGCGGGCGCGAAUUUCUCGGUAGUAUACCAGGAUCUCUACUAGACGUCAAAAAGAGAAAAGCCAAAUCCUAUACCACCCAUCAACAAUGUAAGUAAAUGUCUCACUUAGGAGCCAGCUAGAGCGUCUACAUAUAUGUUGUUUGAGUAGAUCUUUUCGAAGAAGCACUAUAAACUCUUUUAUUAAGUAUCUCCACUACAGCUUCUAGCAGUAGUGAAUCAAAUUGGAGCUUUUGCUUUUAGGGUCCAGCUCAGCUUUCUUGCCACGGCAAAAGUUUGGAGCUUUCUGCUUACUAGAGUACAGAUGCAUAAGCUACUCGAGAAAUAGGGCGAAGCCUAGUUAAUGAACGAAGAAAAUUAUUUAUCACUUACCGAUAUCAUGAUAACGAUUGUCACGAUUAACACUGGAAGGCCAAGUAUAUGUUUGUGAUCACUAUUUGAGGCAUUACUGUGUGAACUUUCAUGGCUAUGGAGCUUUGUAAUCACUUGACAACAAAAGGCGACUGAUGGACCUGCUAUUAGAAUUGUAGACAGAAAGAGAGAAGCCACAUCUGGACCAAAUAUCAGUCUCCCACCGCAGAAGAAUUUCUGAGAAGAAGAAGCAGCAGAAAGCAUAAGAGUGUGGGAAUACUUGUAUCAAUUAAAUUGCACACAUAUGUUAUGUAGAUGGACAUAAGAAACAAUGUAGAAGAUGAUCAAAGAAAUUAUUUUUUUUCCAAAUAAUACCUUAUGCUCAAUAUGAAAAGGACAGGAAAAAAAAAACUUCAUGAGUACUAUGUUUAAACUCAUACUCUUAUUAAAAGUAAAUUCCAUGUAUCCAUGCCAAUGCAAACUAUUUUUUAAUGCCAAUGCAAACUAAACACGAAAGGGAAAGUUCGUGCCCAGUAAUCUAUUAUAAAUGAGAAAAGGCAUUAUCUUUGUGAGCCAUACAAAUAUCAAAAUUACAAAAGUAUGAAUUUUAAAUUCUCAUCCAAAUCCCUCUGCUAUAAAUCAGUAUGAAAUCAUCAACAAUGACUUCUCAAAUGCGCUCGCAAACUUUUAUACUUGGUGAUUGGAUUUUCAUAGUCAUUCACCAUCGAUUUAUUCUUGGGUACAGGCAUCUUAGCAAUAAAAUAGUACAAACCAAGCUGGAGAAUGGUAAAUGUUAUUGAGACAAUAAAAAAUAACUAUGUUAUCAAUUAAAUCUGCAUAUUACCCUUUGACAUCAAUGAAAAGAAGUAAAUUUUGAUCCAUGAUUAGCUCAAACAGAUCUUCGUUGUGUGAUAUCUAUUACCCAAAUAAUCGACCUAAUAGGAAACGGUCCAGGAUUUGUCUUAACACACCCCUACUCACGUGCAUGAUGAUAUUAGAUAAAUCAGAAUGAUCGAGUAUUAAACUCAACACACCCCCACUCACAUGCAUGAUGGAUAUUAAGUAAAUCAUACCACGUGCACCGACAAAAAUAGAUAACAUAAAAUGGAAGAUGAGGGAACCGAACUCAAGACCUUUUGGACCAGAAGGGGCUUAUCACUACUUUAAUACCAUGUUAACCCAAAACAUCAAUAUGAUAGGAAACGGCUCAGGAUUAGUCCUAACGAAAUCCAUGAUGGGAUUUAAAUUCAAUUAUUAUAGCUCAUGCAACAUCACUUGAUCCUUGAUUUCUGAAACUAUGUUACGAUUAGAUACCUGUUUGUUGAUCCUGUAAAUUUUCUUAAAACAUAAAAUAAUGCAUAAAUGAUUAAAAAAAAAAGAAGAAUAAACAAAACACAUUAAUCAGAUAGAGAAUAAAACUACCUCACCAGAUCUAAUUCAAAACAUAUCUGAAUUUCAAACCCAAUAAAGUUUUCGAAUAAAAACCCAAAAAGAAAAAGAAAAAUCAAAUUUGUUCCACACAUUCCAAGCCCUAUCAUAAAGAUCAACAACCACAUCCAAAUUUAGCAAUAAAACACACAAAAUUAGGCUCAAAUUUCUCACGUUGCUUCCUUUCCAAACUUGAUACAGCCUCUUGCGAUUCGGGGCCGCGGGUGUCGCCAUUUACCCUUCUCCUCCCCCAAAAUUACGAUCAAAACGCAAAGAAAAAUCGGGAAAAAAAAAUUAAACAAAAGCAAAAACCCAAAUCGAAUUUGGGGAUAUGGGUUUCCAAAAUCAAAUCACGACACACAUUUGGGCCUUUGGGAAGAGCGAUGAGAGAGAAAGAGAGAAAGAGAGAGACAGAGAAAGAAAAAAGAUUCUGAAAUCAAGGGGGUCUCUCUCUAUCUCCCCCCCUCUUUCUCUGUUUCUUUUUUUUUUUUUUCCUCCUCUUUAUUUUGGAUCUGAAACACCUAUUUCUCUCUCAUCCCUGGGUGUUUCUCUCUCUCUCUCUCUCUCUCUCUCUCUAAUAUUUUCUCUCUCUAGCGGAAGCGGGUGUAAUGAGAGAAGAGAAGGGGUUCUCAAUUUUCCCGCGGCGUUUUCGCGGGAAGGUAACGACUCCAACGUGUGAAAGGCAAAAGAAAAGGGAAAACUUCAAAUACCACCCUGUAGUUUCAUACUUUUUCAUUUUAGUAUCCCGUGGUUUAAAGUGUAUCAAUUUAGUACCCUGUGGUUUCGUACUUUCUCAGUUUAGUACCCUGUGAUUUAAAGUGCAUCAAUUUAUUACUAUAUUUUAUUUUUCUCCUUUCGUCGGGUUCUUUGUUAAUAUUUCGUUAAAUUAUAUAAGAAAAACUUCUGAUACCCUACUUAGAUUUUUUGAAUGUUUACUUCAGUACCAUUUAGUUUUAACUUUAUCACUGAUUUUUUUUCCUCCGUUAAUAUUUCGUUAAAUUAUAUACAAAAAAUUUCAGAUAUUAUAUCUAAGUUUAUUAAAUAUUUAUUUUAGUACCCUUUAAUUUUAACUUUGACACUGAUUUAAUGAAAAAAAUUAGCGAAAUGAAUAAUAAAAAGAGAAAAAUGAAACCGCAGAGUACUAACCUGAUAUACUUUAAACCGCAGGGUAUUAAAAUGAGAAAGUGCGAAAAAACAAGGGCUAACUUGAUAUCCUUUAAACUAUAGUGUACUAAAAUGAGAUAGUGUGAAACCACAGCGGGGUAUUUGAAGUUUACCCAAAAGAAAAAGUAAGCUAAUUUACAAAAAAUCCCUUACACUUUAGAAUUUUUUUUGGGGCUUUUUUUGCAAAUAGCCCCCUAACUAAUUUUUUUUUUAAAAUUGGCCCUAUCAAAAAUUUAUUUGCAAAAAUGGCCCGGUCCCACCACGUCAGCGCCACGUCAGCGCCACGCGGGCGGGGCUGGGCCAUGUGUUUAAGUUGAACACGGUGAACCAUUCACCGUAUUCAAUACAAGGUUUUUGUAUUAGACACGGUGAAUGGUUCACCGUGUCCAAUACAAAAUGGUUAACUGCGAGGUAUUUAUAUUGGACACGGUGAAUGAUUCACCGUGUCCAAUACAAAUAAUUGAACACGGUGAAUGAUUCACCGUUUCCAAUACAAACACCCACAACUUAGUCAUUUUUGGCUAAGUUGGAGGUAUUUGUAUUGGAUACGGUGAAUCAUUCACCGUGUCCAAUACAAAAAUCUUGCAUUGAACACGGUGAAUGGUUCACCGUGUUCAACUUAAACACAUGGCCCAGCCCCGCCCGCGUGGCGCUGACGUGGCGCUUGCGUGGCGGGGUCAGGGCCAUUUUUGCAAAUAAAAUUUUGACAGGACCAAUUUUAAAAAUAAAAUUUAUCAAGGGGCUAUUUGCAAAAAAAACCCUUUUUUUUGCUUAUUUUUAUGGAAAAAUCCAACGCAACGAAAAUGCCGUAUUCAGUAAUAAAACAUCCUGAGAAAACAAACUAAACUCGGCAUUUGGCACCUUUGACGCGUUCCAUGCAGAAUCUCCGUGCUCACCAUUUGUAGCUGUAACAUUAUUAGCAAAUAAUUAAACUAGAGCUUGUAUAUAUAUAUAUAUAUAUAUAUAUAUAUAUAUAUAUAUAUAUAUUUUGGUGUUGCCUCCACGUCUUUGAGCUAAUGAUAUACUAAUGGCAGCAUUGAAAUUCGUGCGGAGCUUGUUCUAUUUGUAGGGGCGUUGCUCGUUAUUGCCAUUCGUAUAAGUACAAUCCUAAGAGCGUAUAGUUACAACUGUUUAAUAAUUUUAAUUAUAUAUAAAUUGAAAUGUAGGAUUUGGACCGAUAUAAUUGAGCCUAUUUGUUGCGGCUGGAAUUGGAUAGAGACAAAACUAAUAUAUGAUAGCAAAUCAUGAGCUCUUUAAUAAUGUAUUGUUUGAGAGCUCUAAAAUGAAUCGUCAAAUUACUAUGAUUGUCAAUGAGCCAAAUACGAGCGAGCUAAGCGCAGCUCAAGAUUGACUUGAAACUAAUUCUACCUGAUUUGUAUUUGGCUCGAUUGUCAAUGAGCCAAAUGCGGAAAACUCUCCAGAUACACCCACUGGCCUCUAUUACAGUCAAAUGGUGCCUUUCUUUCCACGUGGAUCCAAAUGUGGGAAAAAGUAUAGGUCAAACUGUGACAUAAAAUUGGUUUGAUGUUUAUUGCUAUAUGCCGGAACUUAUGAAAGAAGCGCAAUAAUAAAAUUUUUAAUGGAUUGUGUAGAUCAUCUGAAGAACAAGCUCGAGUAUCUCACAAUGAUGUGCUAAUGUGAUUCAAAUUUUUAUAACUGGGGGGUUAAAUUUGGGAAUCAAUUAUUGCAGUGGGUCUAUUCACUACUGAGCCCCAGUGACUAUAAUUUAUAUUAUUUGUUUUAUAUGUAACUCCUAUUAUAUUCAAUGAAACGUAUACAUUCUUUUCAAAGAAAAAAAAAAAAAAAAAGCCGAACGCGAGCGAGCUAGGACUAGCUCGAGAUCAACUUGAAAAUGAUUUUAUAUUGUGCCAUCUUGAAUUAACUUUAAUAAGAUAUCAAUAUUAUCUGCAGUUAGUAUUAUUACUAAUUUAUUAUUAUUG